Molecule: long non-coding RNA, 62555 nt
Filed under: Ananas comosus (pineapple)
Lineage: Eukaryota; Viridiplantae; Streptophyta; Magnoliopsida; Poales; Bromeliaceae
Description: long non-coding RNA (ACOM_LNC004480)
Source: RNAcentral
UAAGGGCAAGUUUGGUUCACCUAUUUUAAACUAUAAAAUCGGAAUCGAAUUUCUUGAUUCCAAUAGUUGUCGUUUGUUUUAUAGGAAUCGGAUUUCAAUUCUCAUUCCACUCCGGAAUGGGAAUGGCUAAAUCCAUUUAUGGCUCAAUUCGGGUUUAAAUCCCGGAUUGACCCAUUCCAAAGUAAACUAUUCAAAAUUCUCUUUCACCAGCACCUAACUCCUCUUCCUUCAUCACUUUAAUCAAAACCCUUUCUCAAAAAUUCUAAAUUUUCAUUCCGAUUUUCAUUCUAAUAAUGAACAAAAUAUUUUCGGAUGAUUCGUCAUUCCAUUUCUCAUUCCAAAACAAUCCGAUUUCACUUUCCAUUUCUAUUCCAAUCAUGAACCAAACAUGCCCUAAAUGUUCUUACAGUAACAUUUCACUCAUCAGCAGCUAUGUCCGUAAUUCUAUACCAGGUUAUCCCAAAAUUCUGCAAUUGUGCCCAAAUCGAUCACUUCAAUUCUACAAUUUCAACUUAUUCCACUCAUCGAGCAAUCAAUAUUUGCAGCAACAAUCACCUGCAGGAUGACGGAGGUGACGACAUCGGCGUACUUGAUGGCGAGGUUGAGCGACAUGCACCUGGCGGGCGCGACGGCGUAUCCGUGGAUGUGGCUCCGGGGGAUGCCGCCGAACUGGUCGCGGUUGUUGACGACGAUCACGGUCAUGAGCGCGGCGAUCCCCGAUCCGAGCGAGUGGCCGGCGAACACCAGCUUGUAAUCGGGGCCGAGCUCCUGGAGGAGGCGGCGCAGGGUGUCGGCCUCUUGGUCGAGGAUCCAGGUGGCGGCCCUGAGGAGGCCGCGGUGGACGAAGCCCCCGUCGAGCACCUGCAUGCCGAGCCCGUCGUCGAGGAGGACCAUGUAGUCGCUGUUGCGCGUGAGGCUGAGGCCGCGGAUGGCGAGGACGAGCUCCUUGUGGGGGCGAUCGGCGUAGAUGAGGUAGGGGGGGCAUCGGCGGUGGGUGUCGGCGUAGGGGACGCGCUUGACGAUGGAGGAGGGGUCGAGGGAGGGGGCGAAGCUGGGGUCGGCGAGGUCGUCGGCGUAGACGCCGAGGAUGGCGCGGCACGCGCGGGGGAUCGGGGCGAACUCCGCGGCCGAGGAGAGGGGCCACGACUCGCUGUCGUAGGUGCCGACGUAGUUGAGGCGCUUCCACGCCCAGCGCGAGCACCCCACGCACACCACGCACUCCAACCCACCCGCCACCGACAUCGUCGUCGACGACCACGACGGCGAUGGUGGAGACGAAGAUGGAGAAGGGGAAACGGAGAGGAUCAAAAGAGCGCAACAACGGAAGAGGAAGGUGAAUAGAGAACGUUCCUUUUGGGUUGGUGUUUACUUUGAAUUCGACAAAGGAGUUUAAGUAAGUACAAGGAGUAGUAACUAGUACUAGUAACAGAGGGAAAGUGAAUUUAGGAUAAGGGGGUUAUCCAAAUCAUUGGCUGGAANUAGAAUUUAAAUUUUUAAAAUUUAAAAUUUCAAAAUUAAAAUUUAUAAUUUAAAAUUAUAAAUUUUAAAGUUUAAAUUUUAAAUUUGAUAUUUUUAAAGUUUAUAUUUUAAAUUUGAUAUUUUUAAUUUUUAAAUUUAAUAUUUUAUAUUUUUUAAAUUUAAAUUUGGUCUUAAAUUUAAAAUUUGAUAUUUAAAAUUAUAAUUUUAAAUGUUAAUUUCAAAUUUUAAGUUUUAAAAUUUAAAUUCAAAAAUUAAAAAUUUAAAUUCAAAUAUAAUGAGAGGGAUAAUAUCAUUAUUUUCUAUUUAUAACCAUAAACUAUUUCUCGUAUUCAUAAUAACCAUCAAAACAUAAUUUUUCUAGUUCCAACUUAUACUCACAUUUUCAUCCAAACAAAAAAAUACUCUUAUUCUUACAAAAAUUUAUACUUGUACCUAUUCUUGGAAUUUAUACUCGGACAGAAUUAUUGCAAGCACUAGGUGCAGCAAUACAUUUCAUGGACCGGAUUCCAUUUUUUUUAUAGCUAACAAUUUAAAUUAAAUCGUGACAUAUUUAUUUACAAUUUUAAAAAUUAUAUACUCUCUAGAUAUCAAGUAAGACUUAAAAAAAUAGUAGAAAGAACAAUAUAUUGCUAGAUUUAUAAGAUUUAUUUUGUAGGUGAGAUCGCCGCCGCAGGCGCGGAGGUUUAUUCCCGGUCCCAUGUUUAUGUUCAUGGAUUUGGACUUGGCACAACUGGGAAAUAAAAGUCCUUCUAAGACUUAGAAUCAAACCGAGGGAAACUUGGAAAGUUGACAGCAGCCACACUUGACACCAUUUAAACACACUCCGUUUGAACAAUCUGAUACAAUUUUUCGGAAUUUUCCGAAGCAGCCCAACGCCGAUGCAUCACAGUUAGACCUUUCAAAAUUAAUAGCUCGGCCCAGCAUUUCAUUGCUACACUACUGGGCCUAUGCGACUGGGCCGGACCAAUUAUGGAAUGGGCCUUGUAUACUCGUUUACUAGAGAAGAGACCCCCCGAGACCGACCGUCUCUAGCGCAAGUAACAAAGAGUUUGAUGGUUGGUAUCUGAGAUUUCAAGUUCGAAUUCUAAUUGAUUUACAUUUCUAUUUAAGUUUAUUUCUAAAUAAAAUAAAUAAAACGGAUAGUAUGCUACCAAUCUCUCUUAAAAAAAAGAAAAGAUCCCAUCAGUACUUUGUGUUUUGAAAUUAUGGUGUGGCCUUAGAAACUAUUUUUGGUAAGAAGUAGGUUAACAAACUCCAAAAAGCUUCUUCUUUCUAUCUAAUUAUGAAGAAGCUUUUAGACCGAAGAGCGAAUAAGCUUUCACGAAUUUUUUUUUAAAAAAAAUUUGUAAAUAUGAAGAAGGACACAUAAAACAGGAUUCCAAUAAGUUGAGCAUGACCAUGGUAAACAGGGGAUGUCAUCAAUGAAUAUAUUUACAUAGGCAGAAAGAAAACAUAAUUACAAAGGGAUACUCUCACAACACCAGUAGUCACAAAAACUUAAAUAUAUAUAUAAUUACAUAUAACCAUCUAAUCGAUGUAUAAUUACUACAACCAUACAGUAUCUGUACACGAGAGAACGUAGGAUCUAAAGAUAGAGCAAGAAUACCAAAUUCACAAACAAGAAAACUAAUUCCUGCUGAUCAUCAGUCCCCGACGGAGAUCGCGCGGCCGACACGACCCAACGGCGACUGCGAGAGCUGCUGCCGCGCGAGGUCCCUGAAGACGGGCCGCCGCCUCGUCUCGAACGCCGGAGGCAGCUGCAGCUGAUCCUUGAUCUUCUCAUCCUCUUGCUUGAUCUUUCUCACUCGGCUAUGAACAACUGGUUGCCGCAAUUGUUUUUCUCCCUUCUUAACCUCCUCUUCAAUUUUCAUACCUUUCUCCUCUAUUUUCUCCAUUGAUAAAACUAUAUAAGUAAGAGGAAACUAAUUAAACUUAGUUACUUGUCACAUAUACACCGUUCUAUUUAUAGAGAAAGAGGGGUAUGUGAGGGAUAAUUGAAUGUAUAGGAAAAAGAUGGUGGGUGGGAUAUAUCUUAUAGUUUGAGGAGCCCCAACCAUUUGGAUUAUUCAAUUUCAUACAAAAUUAGACUUUAACAUGCUGAUCAAAUUGGUAAACCACAUGGCUUAGAAAAGCUAAAGCUACUACAAGAAUUGAUAAUAAAUUAAUUUUAAUAUAACAUGAAAACUGGAAUAUGAGUUUAGGUAAUGUUGAUAAAAUGAUUCUUUCAAAUAUGACAUAUAUAUAUAAGUUGUUCACGCAGGAAACAGGUGACCCAAAUUGUGAAAUGUUCAAACCCGUAAAUUAAUUAGACCCUUCAAUGGGACAAUAUUUAUGUAAUCGUGGGCCAAGUAAACCUUCUUAGGUGGGUGAUGUGGUAUCUUCUACACGCACGAAGCGAAAAAGCCAAAUAAACACAAAUUAAAAAACUUAAUUUUUGUAAUUUCUUUGGUUGGACUCAAUUUGUCAAACUUCUAAUUUGCUUUAAUUCUAUUCAAUGGUCCUUGUUUCAAAAAGCGUGAAUUCGAGUCCCUUCCAAACUGACUAGCUCGAAUAGUUUAAUAACAAUUCCUAGUCGCAACUUGAACUAACUCAAUUUUACUUUGAGCUAAGAUCGAUUCGAUGUAGAUCAAGAAAUAAUUCGUUGGUCAAAACAUCAUUUCCCUCAUUGUUGUGAGCUGCAAUUUGUGCGACAAUCUUUUGAAAAAGUUGAAAUAAAAUUUUAACUUUUCAUUUUAUCGAACAAUACUAUACUAUACCAGAUUAUUUCAACACAUUAAUUCUCUUUCUUUUAUACACUUACAAAUUAGUUGUUAGUUGAUAAUUCUGGCUUUAAGGUUAGCCUCCAACCUUCACCUAAUUGUAGAUAAUGUUCGAUCCAAGUCAACCCAAAAUAGUGACUAAUCUUUUUGGUACAUCCACCUCCUCCAAAAAAAUUUGUUUCCAUACAUGUACGAAUGGAUAACGAACACAUGGUUUCCUCAAUUGGAGCCACAUUGCUAUUAAAUAAUCUGAGGGGCAAUAAAAGUUGGUGUAAUAUAAAACAAAUAACUUUUAGAACCGAACAUAAAUUUGCUUACGUUUGCUGCGUUUCAUUUCGUUAAAUGUAUUAUGAAACAAAUUUAGGCCUAGUUUAGUAAUAUUGCGCAGCUAAAGUUAAAUAUCUUUAUUUUUAUCGACAUGCUUUUUGGGUUAUGGUAACCAUUCCUCUUUUUUUUUUUUUGAGAAAUAGAUAGCAAGCUAUCUGCUUCAUUCAUUAAGCAAAAUGAACUAAGCGUACAAAAUGAAAGCAGCUAAGGCAUCCUUGAAAAGCCAGAGGAAAUUAGAAAUGACCAAAAUAAAGUACAGUGUACGAAAAAAUAUAGAAGUAACUAACUAAAAGAAGUAGCUAAAGAAAUCAAACACGAAUGUUAAAGACAAACUUGGUCAAAGAACCUCGGUCCAAACUUUGGUCAAGCUCGUGACACGUUCGAGAACCUCCAUUCCAAUUUUAUAGCGUUGAAGGAGACUCAGAAGAAGCUCUUUUAAAUUUUUUAAAUCUUCUAAAAUAUAAAAAUAAGAUAUAUUUAGCCAGCAAAUUACGAAAUUAGAACUCAUAAGUUUGUGGGCCAUAGUGGAUUGUGAAAACUCUGGAGGAUCAAUUUGGCCCAAUUUGCUAAGGGCUCAUUGGUAUGGGCUUUAAAGGGAAUUGCGUUAACCUCCAAAGUGUUCUGUUGAUUAAUGGGCCCCAGGGCCCAGGGGAUCUUUCGAAACUUGAUCUCCUGUGAUCGCAACAAUGUAUUAAGUUAUGGUGUAGGUCAAACACAGUUAAAAUACAACAAGAUUCUUCUGCUUCACCCUUGUGAUUGUUCUCGCACCAGCAAAUCUUAUUUUAAAUUUAUUAUUAUUUUAUAAUAUUGAAGGAGAGAAUUUUUAAAUUUUUUUUAAAAUUAAGCAUGAAAGUAAAUAUUUUUGAACUUCACAAUUUUAAACUAGGCCUUAAUCGAAACCAAGCCUGUUAGGAGGUGUUUAGCUUAUCUUCCAAAAAGUGAUUUUAAGUUCAACAGUAAUUUUGGGCUCAGUAGAGUAUUUGACAAUAAGUAUUGAAAAAUCUUAUUCUGUUUUUAAGAAUUAUAAAAUUGAUUUUUAAGGCCAAGAAUCAAAAAUAGAAAAAUAACUAAUUCUUCAAAACUGAUUCUUGCAAAAUCAGUUUUUUCACUUAAAAUUUUUAUAAGAAUACUCCAACUAUCUCUCAGCCAAACGUUUUAUAGCUUUUAACAAAAAUUACUUUUCUAAGCUAAAAUUAAUUAUACAGAAAUCACUUUUUCAAGUAAUAAGCGAUUUCUUUUAUUUUAUUUUUAUUUUAUAAUUUUAUGGUAUAAAAGAAAGAAAAAACUUAUUGAUUUUGUUCGAAAUGAUUUAAAAAAAUGAUUUUCAUAGAAUUGGUUGGAGUAAAAAAAAAAAAAUCUAAUUUUCUGGCAUACCCGAAAAUUAUAAAAAGAAAAAAAAAACAUAUUUUAUCAAGAGCACUGCAUAGUCCAAACAGAAAAUUGCUAUUCGUACAAACUAACUUAAAAUAUUCUCCCACUUUUUUGAACUUUUUACGCCCAUUCCAACCCUCCAUACCAAAUCUCUCUCACCCUCUCAUACACGCACAGACACACUACAUAUAAGCUAAAAAGUGUACAUCUCCCUUCCACUGUUCCACACCUCCGCUAGUCCCCUCCCUCGUUCGUAUGUGCAACAUCAAAACAAUUAAUCUCAUCCACGAUCGAACAUCGAUCACACCAUGUCCGGCUCCUCUCUCACCUUCCUCCUCUCCUUCUUCACCUUACUCUCCGUCGCCAUCGCCGCCGCCGACAACAACAACACCACCGGCUACAACACCUUCGUAUACAGCGGCUGCUCCACGCAACACUACACAUCAGGCUCAUCAUACGAGAGCUACGUGGACUCGAUCCUCGCGUCGAUCUCCGCCGCCGCUGCGGCGUCCUCCUUCGCAAACUUCACGUCCCCAGGCGCCGUGUCGGGCCUCUACCAAUGCCGCGCCGACCUCCCUGCCUCCGCCUGCGCCUCCUGCGUCCGCUCGGCCCUCUCGCAGCUCGCCUCUCUCUGCCCCUCCGCCGCCGGCGCCGCCGUGCAGCUCCGCGCCUGCUUCCUCCGCUACGGCAACCACUCCUUCCUCGGCAAACCCGACACGUCCCUCCUCUUCAAGAAGUGCGGCGCCGCGAUCGGCGCCGGAAUUGGCGGUGGCGGCGAUGUUGAUGCGGCGUUGGAGGCGGUGACGGAGGGCGGGGGGGAGUACAGGGUGGGCGGGGCGGGGAGGGUGCAGGCUGUAGCGCAGUGCGUCGGCGACCUGAUUGCGGAGGAGUGUGGGGAGUGCGUGAAGGCGGCGGUGGAGCAGCUGGAGAGUGAGUGCGGGGCGGCGGCAGAGGAGGGGGAGGCAUAUCUCGGCAAGUGCUACGUACGGUAUUGGUCCGAUGAAGAAGGAGGCGGUGGUGGCAGCAGUGGCGGUGGCGGUGGCAUUGGAGGCGGAGGCAGUGGCGGUGGCAUUGGUGGCGGUGGCAUUGGAGGUGGAGGCGGUGGCAGUGGCAUUGGAGGCGGAGGCGGUGGUGGUGGCAUUGGUGGUGGUGGCAUUGGCAUUGGUGGCGGUGGCAUUGGAGGCGGUGGCGGUGGCAUUGGUGGCAAUGGCGGCAUUGGCGGUGGCAGUGGCAUUGGGGGCGGAGGCGGUGGUGGUGGCAUUGGUGGUGGUGGCAUUGGCAUUGGUGGCGGUGGCAUUGGAGGCGGUGGCGGUGGCAUUGGUGGCAAUGGCGGCAUUGGCGGUGGCAGUGGCAUUGGGGGNGCGGCGGCGGCGGCGGCAUCGGGGGCGACGGCAUCGGCGGCGGUGGCGGCAUUGGCGGCGGCGGUCAAGACGGUAAGCGAUCAAUUGCUAAGAAUAAAAUCUUUCAUAAUUUCCGUACAUUAUAAUUUUCGUCUCUCUCUCUCUGUUUAAAAAAAUUGCAACUGCAUUACUAGUCAUCAGGUGUCAACGUGCUCUCCUAUAAAAAGAUAUUUUUAUUUAUUUUUUCUGUAAUAGAUUAUGGUUAUACUUUAUCUGAUAGAGAGGCAGAAUAGUUAUUUUAGGGGAGAAACUUUGCAUGAUUUAUGAGGGAUUGAAUAACGAAUAGGAUCUCUACGUGAAUAUUCAAAAAUAUAUGAUAUAAGUGAAACAUUUAUUGCUUAAUUAACUUUAAGUAUUGCAUGUUUUAUAUUCUCGUGAUUUUGGCCAAUUGCUCUGCUAAUAGAUAUUCAAAUGAUUACAGUGUUUUGCUAGUUUGGUUUGGUUUCAAACGUUGUGCCUACAUAUAUGUCACUCUAUGUACACAUUGGUGCAAUUAAAAUAUGAAAUCUUUUGAAUAAAUCCUGUUGACUAGUACGUACAUUAUUUUGUUAAACCUUACCUAAGCCUUUACAACGUUAAUUCAAUUACAGAGAAUACUAUAUUUCAUUAAUUAAUUACAGGGCUUGAUAUAUAUCAAAACAGAGAACUUAGAAACAAAUAGAGAGAGAGAGGGAGCUUAAUAAUAACAGUUCUUGCAAUAAUUGUAAAUUAGUGUAGAGAUAAGAUAUUCCUAAGUUUCCUAAAGAAGAGAAAUAAGGGAACUCAAGAAUUAAUGGCUCCUUUAGCAAGAUUAGGUGAUGGGUGGAUUGGAGAAUAAAGCUCCUUUAUUAGAUCUUGGCUUGUUCAACCACUAGAAUAAGCUUGGAGGUCCCUAGCUAGCUAAACAAUUUAGAAGCAUUUGUAUGUAGUUUUGCUCCAGGGUGGCCACAUGCUAGCUAAAUUGUGUACAUAUUCAUCACAAGAUGAAGUGGAGAUAUGAAUCCUUCAAUAGAGUUUUUUUUUGUACAACGCUGUAGGUCUCUUAUAAUAUUAUUAUUAUAUAUUAUUAAUGGGUUGACAAUGUAAUGCAGUAGAAUAUUUUUCUUAACUUGGAUGAUUAGAGGACAAAAUUUGGUGGCAAACUGGCGUGUGUAGCCAACCAUCUGCCAAAAUACAGCAGAAAAAUAAAACAAAAACCCUGCACUCUUCCUCAUAGGGCCCAGAUGAGAUAAGUUAUAGAAUCCAAAUUGAAGGAUAUUCCAAUAAUUUGUGCAAUAAGUUAGACCAGGUAGGUAGGAAAUGUGCGAGUGCUUCUUCCAGGAAUGAAAGCGAUUAAUUUAGAAUUUCUUAACUUUCACAAAUUGGUAGAAGAUGGAACCUGCAAUGGUGUAGAACAUAUUUAUCUAGCUUCUGAAAUUACCUUUACACUAAGCCAUUACGGUAGUACAAAAACAAACUUAAUUACUUCUAUUCGGCAUUAAAAACGUUAUUACUGUAGUUGAUUUUACUAUUUUGGUUAUUAUUUGCGAACUGAAUGUGAUUAACCUCAAUGAAUUAGCAUGGAUAUUCUGGUAGGUAAUACCGUUGCCCUUCUUCAAUUAAGAGAGAGCAUAAUAUCGUUGAAUUUGACUAAUGCGCCAUUCUUUGAUUGUUUAUCAAUUAUCAGGAGAUCAGAGCGAGAAAAUUGCGGCGAUCAUCGUCGGGAUUAUUGUCGGCAUCGCCCUCUUAAUCGGUUUCUUUUCCUUCAUGAGGAGAGCCGGGCGAGGUGCGUGCAUUUUUCAUCUUUACUUAGCAACCUUCUAAUCCUUCAGUUCAAUUCUGAAUUUGCUUGAUCUGGUCCUAAGCAUAUACCCUCUUGUUUCUUCUUUGCAGGCAAAUAAUUAUAUUACGCUGCAAUGCAAUGUGCCUUCUCUUUUCUGCAAUUUGCCUUGAAUUUAUUUCCCUUGUGCUUAAAAUUAAUCAUGGUAUAAUUGAACCUCUUCUUGUUGUGUGAUGUGAUUAAUUAUCUCCUCGAUAUUGGCUGGUGAUCGCAUACAAUGAUCAAGGGUUGGUGAUUCUUCAAUCUAAGAUUUUAUGUGUAUUCUUCAAUCUAAGAUUUUAUGUGUACAUACUAAAGCAAGUAGGUGCACGGUGCUCACCAACUCAAUUAUUUCAUAAUUUGUCUAAAUUAUUUCAUUUCCAUAAGUUUCAUCUUCCAAAAUGCGAAUAGAAAUUAACAAUGGAUUACAUUAUUUGCAUAUACUCUUUUUUUUUUUUUUUUCUUUUUCGUUUUUUUUGGAAAAGUCAUUAUCUGGCUUGGACAGAGGACGCAAUUUUUUUUUUUUUUUAAUAUUUGACAACUCUUAAAAAAAUUGUAAUAUUUGACAAAUGAGCCCAAAUAUGGCUCGUUAGGUCCUCAAAGUGAGUUGGGCCUCGUUAAGGCCCAUACAGAAAAACAAAGCCCGAUUGUCUUGUCCGCAUAGAACUUUAUAUGCGCCUACUCCCUAGUCCCUACAACUGCACCGGUACUAACGCCGUUAAAGGCUGUUAACGUGUCCCUCGUUUCCUCUUCCUUUCCCCCUUUGCACCUCUCGAAAAAGAGGCGAUCGAGCUGACCCCCGAUCCGAUACCUUCUCCUCCAAAUUAGGGUUUCGAGGGUUCUAGGGUUUCUUCGAUCGCGCGAUCUCUCCUCUCUCUCUCUCUCUUGCUUCCCCCAUGGCGUUGGAGUGGGUGGUCCUUGGCUACGCGGCGGGGGCGGAGGCGAUCAUGCUGGUGCUGCUGACGCUCCCGGGGCUCGACGCGCUGCGGCGGGGGCUCGUCGCGGCGGUGCGCAGCGCCCUGAAGCCGCUCCUCGCGGUGGUGCCCUUUUGCCUCUUCCUCCUCAUGGACAUCUAUUGGAAGUACGAGACGCGCCCCACGUGCGACCAGGAGCACGCGUGCACCCCCUCCGAGCACCUCCGCCACCAAAAGUCCAUCAUGAAGAGCCAGCGCAACGCCCUCCUCAUCGCCGCCGCGCUAGUCCUCUACUGGCUCCUCUUCUCCGUCACCUCCCUCGUCGUCCGCAUCGACCAGCUCAACCAGCGCCUGGAGAAGCUCAAGCGCCAGGAGUGAGCGCAUGAUCGGCCUCCGAUCUCGUGCGAUUUAAGAGCUCCGCGGUCUCGGAUCCGAUCUCGAUCUAGGUUCUGGUUUCUAUCCCCUUUAGUUUUUUUGGAUAUCUUCUCCUUUUUGGUUGUUGUGUGUACGGAUUCUUAAUUUGCAUAAAGUGAAUCGGAGAUCUGGUUAGGGUGUUUGAUCUUAGAUCAUACUGUGGAAGAGCCCGUAAUUUGGUAUGUGAUUCGUAUUUUUAGGUUAAGACUCCUAUUCCUAUCAUGCUAUCGAUUUUGAACAGUGAAUUUGAUUCGGGAUUUUGUGCUGAUGCAUCUUCAAUAGUUUGGUAUUUCAUUGCUGAACGAAUUUAAGAGGUUACUUUUCUGAUUCGUACUGAAGAUUGCUGCGUAAUCUAGUUUAGAAGGCUUCGGAUUUAAAUCUUGGCUUUGUGAGCAGAAGCAUCAUUAUCUGAUAAAUUGAGUUUUCUUGGUUUAUAUUUUAUUCGUGUUUCACUGUAUGUUUGAACCUUUACUUGCAACUAAAGCUGCUGAGUAUUGGAGUGAUCACCAAAAAUGCUGGAGAGAGCUCCUGAACUGGGUUGGUUGUGUUAGGCUGGAUCUUAGUGUGGUAAUCCUAAGAGCAUAUUUUCCAGUAUUUAACUUUUGGGCAUAUUUGCAUUCAUAUUACAUCUCAGUUGCGAAGACACUGUUUCCGAUACACUAUUUUUGGUGUCUAACGACUGCUAUCAGCCUUUUUGUUGCCCAUAUAAUGUUUUCAGAUUUGGUAUCAUGACAGUUUCAUACUCACAAGGAAAUUUUUAGCUGCAGCUGGAAUAAUUUCAGCAUUUUGUUAAAAUCUGAUAAAAUCAAUCUUAACUUGAUAUCUUGUGCGUUGUGUUGUUGUUUUGUUUUAUUUUAUUUUAUUUUAUUGUAGACUUGUUCAAGUUGCUGUUAUGACAUGCUUGUACUCAGAUAUGUUGAAUUGUAUAUCCUCUGUGGAUAUCGCUUAUUAGAGACGUUCGUUGUGUCUUAAGUCAGUAUUCAUGUCCUGUGCCUGCUACUUCAUAAGGUUUUUCUUUGAAUUUUUUUUUUCUUUUCUACAUUGAUAUACAUUUGCUAUUCAUGGUAUUAUUCUUUUAUUACAGUAAUGACUUUACAAUAUUUUUGAGGUCCAGUUAAGUCAGUUGCCUUGUUCUGUGAGUUCCUAGUUGUGUAGUACCAAAACUGACAAUGUUGGUUUAUUCGUCAGCUCUACAAAAACCAGGAGCUUCUUGAUUGGGUUUAGUUUGUUUGAGCUUUCCACGGUGACCAGUUUGUAUCAGUUUGGAUAAUGAUUCUUGAAUAACAAGUUAUAUUUGGUUUCGAACAAAUCCUAAUAUAUGGUAACAUUGAGGAGAGGUUGCUUUAUAUUGGUUUGGGUUUGGGCUUAUAAAAGUUUAAGCUUGAAGAGGUACAAUCUUAAUUUUUGGCUCUUUUAUUUCUUUCCCGUGAGGGCUAAGGAAGCAGUUUCUUCCUUCAUAAUUAGGCCCUUCUUUUAGUUCUUCUGCAGUGGAGCAGCUCUAGUAAUGGGAGCUGCAAAAAGUGGCAUCAUAUUGAACGAAUUGUUUACUUUUUAAUCCUAUUCAGCGAAAGCCAUGGCAACUCCCUUUCUUUGAUGCUGCAGACAAAGAAGCUUCAAUGAAUUAAGCAGAUUGGUAUGUACUACGAAGCUUCCUCGUUCAGACAACUGAUAUAUAUAUUUUUUUCUUUUGUUUUUCUUAUGCCCUUUCUGAGGUUGAAUCUUUGCUAAUUAGAGCAUCAUAUUACUUGCAUUUAUUAUUCUACACCUGCUCGGGAUUCAAUUUUGCAUUGAUCUCUCUUCUAUAUAUUUGAGUACGCCGUUCUCUUACAACAAUCUAUUCUCCAGUGUGGUACUCCUAAUCAUUAACAAGCUCUUGGGACUUUGAUUAUUGUAGGAACUAAGUUAGAUUCCGCCUCCACGCUUUCUUUGGAUUCGUCUUUUUCUGCUCAUCGGGAUAGGGCUAUGGCUUCAAUCUUUGCUGAUUUAUGCUGCUUUUCCAUCUCUUGCUUAUUUUUGCAAACUAAAUUCGAGUUCUGAACCCAAAUGAAUGUCUUUAGUAGCAUUAGACUCUCCACUCUGUAGGCAAUUCUGAUAUGCGAUCCGAUCCGGACCCGAAUUCGGUUUCAGAACCUCUAAAAACCUAACCUCCUGCUCCGUCCCUCGGGUCGCACCACCGAGGAGAUCACCAGCGCCCUCCACGGAGACCUCCGCCUCUAAAAACCUAAUAUUCAUUAGAUUAGUAAUAUCUUUUAAUCAAUUUCUUUUCUUAUGAAAAUUUUGUUAUUAUUAUAUUAAGAUUUAGGCCUAUAAAUAAGAAAUCUUUUCUUAUUUUAAUAUCUUUCAACUUUUUUUUUUUUUGGAAUGAAACGUUAAAUUAAUCUCUUUAUAUCAAAAUUAUCUCUUUAUAUCAAAAUUAUAGUGAGGAUCGAGAAAUUCUUAAAUAAAAAUUUGUUAAAAAAAAAAAGGCCAUCCAGUUGUCCCGCAUUAAAAUUUUUGUUGUACCGCGACAAUCUUGGUGUAAAAAGUCAAUUGGUAACUUCAUAUUUAACUGUGUACAAUUUUUCGUGGGUUGUUAAUAAAUACGCAUGUUUUCUUGCCGCGGUAUCUUUUAUUCAGUCCUACGACAAGCGAAUACUAUGUUGCCUAAUAAAUGGCUCAAAUUUUAGAUCUGCUUUGCGUUGCAGUUUCAGAUACUUUUGGAUGCAUUUUGGUACUAAAAUCUUAUGAGAUAUGGGCAUUAGUUUUUUAAUUUUAUCUUUGACUAUAAUAAAUUUUUAGUAAAAAUAUAUUUAACUUCGUUGAACUGAAAAUUAUUUUGAAUUGGCGAUCUAAUAUUUUAAAAUUUUGAUAUGGCUAUUCAUUCUUUUAAUUUAUUUGAUUUGGAUCUGUCAAUAAUAUUUUAACUUCAAAUUUUGAAUAUAUUAGUUAUUUUUAUAAGUCUAAUUAGUAUAUUUCAUACCGCUUUUACAACUACAAAUUUAUUAAAACAAAUAAUUAAUUUAAAUUUUAGGUCAAAAUACUCAGACAGUAAAAUUAAAAAUUUUAAAAAUCAAAUAGUUAUUUUGAAAUUGAUCUUAGAUAAAUUUUUUACGUGUUUUUUUUUUUUGUUUUUUUGUUUUUUUUUUUUUUUUGUCAUGCACUAGAAAAAUUCAAGCCUCUUAACUAAUUAAACUAACUCACGCGUUAGUGGCACCGUCGGAGUGGUGACAGCCAACCCAAGUUGAGAAAACUAAUCAUUGCCAUUCAGAACGAAAAUUCAAUUAUAUAUUAGUGAUGUUACGUUCUAACUAAUUAAAUACAUUUUUUUAAUUAAUUUAUUCUAUCAUAAUUAUAAAAACAUUUUAAUUAUAUUUAUUUUUAAAAUAUAAUUAAUUUAUUAUUAAUUAUAUGGUGCAAAGAUAAUACAAUAAAUUUCCUGUUCAUAGCAGAGAAAUUCCUCUCAGCUGUCUGCCACGGCACCAUCCACGUGAUCACUGGACCCAACUCUUGUCUGCUCUCUCAUCAUCCUGCAGAGCAGUCUCUCCCUCACAGUUAUUCUACAUAAAAAUUUUAUUAAAUUAUAUUAUAUUUUAAAUAAGGCCUUUUUGUAUAAAAAAUUCACUUAUUUUAGGCUUUUGUAAAAUCGGAUCACCUUUUUCGUUUUUGCAGAUUCGGUCCGCUUUUUCAGCAAACUGACCAAAAUACCAUUAUUACUUUUUCUCUUUCCUCUUUUUCUCUCCUCUUCGUUUCUGUCGUUCUUUUUUUUUUCUCGCCGAUAAAAAAAGAGGCGGAUCGGACCGUCGCCUUCUUCUUCACCGUCGCCUCCCUCCUCACCAUCCCUCCUCUCCACCGCUCGCGACCCCCUUCUCCUCUCCCUGCCGUCGCCGCCGAGCCCACCCCCACCGUCAUCUCCGUCGCCGUCGCCGAGCCCACGGCCAUGGCGGUGGCGGUGAAGGCGGAAGAGAGCGGGGGGGAGGGGAGGGGGUCGCGCGACUCCAUGGCCAACACCAUGCUCUCCUUGAACGGCACCGCCCCGCCGUCGUCGUCGCCGUCGCUAUUGGCGCUGUCGUCGUCGUCGUCUUCCGCCUUCUUUGACGCCGCUUCGCUGAGUAUGGAGCCCGUGUCGGCGCCGGGGGGCUCAAAGAAGAGGCGGUCGACGUGCGCCGACGACUUGAUGCCACGUAUCACGCUCUCCGAUGACUCGCCGUCAUACUACUCGUCGAACGGCGCCGUCGACAGGCUGGUCAUGUCCCGAUCGCGCCCCUCGUCCUACGAGUUGGUGAAGCGCGACUCCGGCGAGUCCGGCCAGUACACCGAGUUGGCCGUCUUGUACAUGCAGCCCGAUGACGGCGAGGCGGAGAAGAAGACGACGGCGAAGAAGAAGGCCUAAACUAGAUGCGGAGGCCGAGGCGCAGAAGAAGACGACGGCGAAGAAGAAGAAGGGGAGGCCGAGCGGCAGGGCGCAGGAGGGGGAGGCGGAGGCGCAGCCGGCGCCGGCGCCGGCGCCGCGCGUGUUUUUCUCCGUCGGCGCCGCCCCUCCUCCCGCCGCCGCGCAGAAGCCGCCGACCAGCGAAUGGUAUAAUAGUGCAAAUGGUGUAAUGGUGUAAUGGUGUAAUGGCGUAAUGGUGUAAUGGUGUAAUGGCGUAACGGUGUAAUGGUGCAAAUAGUAUAAUGGUGUAAUGGUGCAAAAUUGUAAUGGUGUAAUGGUGCAAAUGGUGUAAUGGUGUAAUGGUGUAAAAUGGUGUGAUGGUGUAAUGGUGUAAUGGUGCAAAAUUGUAAUGGUGUAAUGGUGCAAAUGGUGUAAUGGUGUAAUGGUGCAAAAUGGUGUAAUGGUGUAAUGGUGCAAAAUUGUAAUGGUGUAAUGGUGUAAUGGUGUAAUAGUGCAAAUGGUGUAAUGGUGUAAUGGUGUAAUGGUCCCCACUCCUCGCCAGCGCCGGCUGCGCCUCCGCCUCUCCCCUCCUGCGCCCUGCCGCUUGGCAUCCCCUUCUUCUUCUUCGCCGUCGUCUUCUUCUCCGCCUCGGCCUCCGCAUCUAGCCUGACCCCGUUCGUCGCGGCCACUGCCGCUGCCGCUUGCGGCGAUGGGAUCGGGCUGGGGGUCCGCGGCGCGCGACGCUGGCUGUGCUUCCGCCUCUCCCUCCUGCGCCCUGCCGCUCGGCCUCCCCUUCUUCUUCUUCGCCGUCGUCUUCUUCUCCGCAUCCAGCCCGACCCCGUUCGCCGGGGCCGCUGCCGCCGCAACGACAGGAUCGGGCUGGGGGUCCGCGGCGGCAGGGGAGAGGAGGAGGGGUUCGCGGGCGGUGGAGAGGAGGGUGAGAAGGGAGGCGACGGUGAAGAAGAAGGCGACGGUCCGCCUCUUUUUUUUUCGGCGAAAAAAAAAAAACGAUAGAAACGAAGAGGAGAGAGAAAGAGGAAAGAGAAAAAGUAAUAAGGGUAUUUUGGUCAGUUUGCUGAAAAAGCGGACCGAAUCUGCAAAAACGAAAAAGGUGAUCCGAUUUUGCAAAAGUCCAAAAUAAGUGGAUUUUUUAUGCAAAAAGGCCUUUAAAUAAUAAUUAAAAAAUGCAAUUGUUUAUAUGAUUCUGAAAAUUUAUCGACUUUGAUUUAUUAUUCUUAAAAGACUAAUAUUGAAAAUACUUUUUUUACGUUCUAACCUAUUUCAAAUAUAUAUCUAAAGUUAAAUUCUGUCCGUUAGAAAUAGCUGUUAUCUGCAUAAAAUUACUAUUUUACCAUUUCAAAUAUAUCCUUCCACUAUUACCGAUUUUAUUAUUUGCCUUUAAAUUAGGGAUACAAAAAGAAUUUUGAUUUUUAGACUUUUCAAAUAUACCAUUAUGCUAUUACCAGUAUUUUUUAUUUGUUCUUAAGUUAAGGCUAAGGUAUGUAUUUUGAUUUUUUUAACUCUAGUAGAUAUUUAACUCAUGUUUAACCUAAAUUAACUUAACGGGUGGUAACUAUAGGGAUAUUUUAGAAUAACGAAGAAACUUAUAAAAAAUAUAUUAAAAAAAAUAUAUAGUAAUAAAUAAAUAUUUUUGAAAAUUUGAAAGGUAUAUAGAUAAUUAUUUUUAAUAAAAAAUUAUUUAUUUAUGUAAUAUAUUUGGAAUUAUGAUAUAUUUUUUUGUUAGUACUGACAUAGUCCACAUCCACAGGUGCAGUAAGAUGACAAGAAGUGGAAAAAAUAAAGACGACGAGACAACGGUGAACCGUGGUACCCGAUGAGAUCCGUCCGUUGAACUGCUGAGAACUAUCGGUGGACGGACGGCCCUGAUCGAAUACGGCUUUCUCAAGGAUUUCCACGUCCGGGGGCGUUCGUGCAAAACGGCGAUCCCCCGAUCCCAACGCCGACUCCGCUUUGAUUCGCUCACCCGGACAAGUCCGCAUCGUCUUGCAUUCACGCGGGUCCGGUGCAUGAAUUACGUGGUGGACCCGGCGUAGGGAGAAAUUUUAUUACUUGGGUGGGGUCCACACGUAACGCGCUAUUUGUUGCCAGGCGCGACCGCGUCCAACAGUGGAAUGUUCUCUUUCUUUUUUUUUUCUUUUUUUUUUUUUUUAAGAAAAAACCGAACCGUUACGAUGAGGCAUUUUCCAAAAAAGACUCGGUCUCCCUCGGAUGGUAAAAUGGCCCAAUAAUGUUCACAUUUUUUUUAAUCUUUAAAAUAUUGAUUAUUUAACUAUUAUGUAACAGCUCCUUGGAUGCUUUUCCCACAAUUUUGUUUGUUUGUUAUAAUUUUUUUAUGAUUUCAGCAAAUUGUUAGUGGAAGGGUUAAAUCGUAUUAAAUUUUUAUGCGACACAUAAAAGAUAAUUUUAUACGGAAUUAUAUAUUCUGAGUUUAAUUCUACUUUUCCGUGGAGUCACCUCUUUUGAAGAGCUCCUCACCAAUUUUUUUUUAUAUAGCUUCAUCGUACACUGGGAUCUUAAUUUCAAUAACGUAUUGAACAGUUUUUUUUUUAUGUAAAAUAAUUUAUUUCUCUUUCCAUGCAAAAACCGUCGUUGUCAAAAUAAACACAAAAUGAAAAGAAUCAAAUUCGAUCAGAGCUCACUGGGCAAAAGCCGACCCGACCGACCGACCGAGCAAUUGUGGAAAUUUUCUCCACUCUGUUCAAAUUUGCAGCGUAGAAUCGUUCUUCCCCGUAGUCCCCAUCCUCUGACUCUCGGACAGUAACAGUACAGCAAUUAAAAUGCGCCUUGAGUUUGUUGGCCCCACCACUUUCUCUUUUAUUACAUCUAAUUAUUAUUAUUAUUAUUAUUAUAUUAUUAUAUUAUUAUUGUAGAAAGAAAAAAGGUGUAAUAGUAGGGUUUUGGUACCGCUUCAACCCAAAAAAAUUAGAAAAAAAAAAAAAAGAGACACAGCCUCUUUUCUCCUCUCUGCGUUUUCCCUUCCUCUCCCUCUCUCGUCUCCAUGGUUUAGCUCUUCUUCGUCCCCGAACCCUAACAAUGGCGUCUCGUCGCUGUACCAUGGAGUCAACCCCUCCUCUCCUCCUCCUCCUCUUCCUCUUCCUCUCCAUCUUCCUCCUCCUCUCCUCCCACGUCGGCGGAGCACCGGACCUCGACUCCGACCGCGCGGCGCUCCUCGCCUUCGCCGCCGCCGGAACCCUAGGCAACCUCACCGCCCUCCGCGUCCUCUCCCUCCGCUUCAACGCCCUCUCCGGCCCCCUCCCCUCCGACCUCGCCGCUCUCCUCGAGCUCCGCAACCUCAACCUCCAGCGCAACUUCUUCUCCGGCGAGAUCCCCGUGGGGCUCCUCUCCCUCCCCAAUCUCGUCCGCCUCAACCUCGCCGACAACGGCCUCUCCGGCGGGAUCUCGCCGGAGUUCGGGAAGAUGACGCAUUUGAAGACGCUCUACCUCGAGAGGAACCGGCUCACGGGGCAGAUCCCUGACCUCAACCUCGCCUCGCUGGGCGCGUUCAACGUCUCCUACAACCUGCUCAACGGAUCGGUGCCCGAGGGGCUGCGGCGGAUGCCCGCGAGCUCGUUCCUGGGCAUGCCGCUCUGCGGCGGGCCCCUCGGCCCCUGCCCCGGCGAGAUCUCUCCCGCGCCCGCGCCCGGCCAGGCCCUCGCCCCGGGGGCGCACUCCUCCUCCUCCGGCGGCGGCGGCGGCGGAGGCGGCGGCAAGAAGCUUUCCGGGGGCGCCAUCGCCGGCAUUGCGAUCGGAUCCGUCGCAGCGACUCUGCUCGUCCUCGGCCUCCUCUUGCUCCUGUGUCGGCGCUGCGGCGGCAAGGGUUACAACGCGAAGGACGCGGCGGUGGCGGAGAUGGCGCUCAAGGAUAAAGAGGUGGUGGGGGCGCCGAACGGGUACGGCGGCUACGGGGCGGCGAGGGCGGCGCCCGCCCUGGCUCCGGCGGCGGCGGCGGCGGCGCCGGCGCCCCCGAGCGGGGGGAAGAAGCUGGUGUUCUUGGGGCCGGGGCCGAGGGUUUACGACCUGGAGGAUCUCCUCCGGGCCUCGGCCGAGGUGUUGGGGAAGGGGACGUUCGGGACGACGUACAAGGCGGUGCUCGAGAUGGGCCCCGUGGUGGCGGUGAAGCGGCUCAAGGACUCCAACCUCCCGGAGAGGGAGUUCAGGGACAAGAUCGGCGCCGUCGCCUCGUUGGAUCACCCCAAUUUGGUUCCCCUCCAAGCAUUCUACUUCAGCAAGGAUGAGAAGCUUCUCGUCUAUGAGUACGUGAGCAUGGGAAGCCUCUCCUCCUCACUCCACGGUACACUCUUCUCCUUUUCUUCUUUUUUUCUUUUUUUUUUGGUUCUCUCUGAUAUCUUUUUUCCUGCUCCAAAUCAUAGAAUUCUAAAGAUUUUAGAUUCUAAUGUUUUUCCUAAAUUUGUUGUUCCGAUUAAAUUGAUUUAAGAAUUUGGUGGGAUUUCUCGUAAAUCAAUAUGAUUUGAGGUAGAAUUUUGAUCAGCAGUGAUAUUUUUACCAAUAGCCACAAAUUGCUGGUGCUAAGAAUAGUCAUGUUAUCGGUAAGGAUUAGUUGGGAUAGGUAGAUACAUUGAACCUACUUCCAAUUUUUUACCAACCAACAAAAAAGGAUUUGUUGGGAUAGGUAGAUACAUUGAACCUAUUUCCCUUUUUUUACCAACCAACGAAAAAGGAAGAGAGUUUGAUUUGACUGAGCUCCAAUUAUUUUCAAAUUUUUUAAAAAAUCGCUUCUAAAAGAAUUCGACCAAUUCUUUCUUUGAACUGAUUUUCAUUGUACCCCUACCAGACUCUUUAAGUUUCUUAUUACUUACAUAACUAUCUAAUUAUACAGGGAAUAGAGGAUCUGGCCGCACCCCGUUGGAUUGGGUUGCGAGAUCAGGUAUCGCCCUUGCCGCGGCCAAGGCAAUCCAAUACAUCCACUCGACCAGCCCGAAAGCCUCGCACGGCAACAUAAAGUCCUCCAACGUCCUCCUCUCCGGACCGUCGGAAGCCCGCGUCUCCGAUCAUGGCCUGGCUCACCUGGUUGGCCUGGCUGCCGCCCCGACCCGGGCCUCCGGUUACCGGGCCCCUGAAGUCACCGACCUUCGCAAGAUCUCUCAAAAGGCCGACGUGUACAGCUUCGGUGUGCUCCUAAUGGAGCUUCUCACCGGCAAAGCGCCGGCCCAUGCGGUCCUCAAUGACGAGGGCGUUGAUCUGCCACGGUGGGUCCAAUCGGUGGUCCGCGAGGAGUGGACAGCUGAGGUGUUUGAUGUGGAGCUGCUGAGGGAUCAGCAUGUGGAGCAGGAAAUGAUGGAGCUAUUGCAGCUCGCGUUGGACUGCGCAGAGCAGUAUCCAGACAAGCGCCCGACGAUGUCCGAGGUGGUGGUCCGGAUUGAGGAAAUUAGGGCAUCGAGCUUGGGCUCUGGCGAGAGACGCCGGCAGCAAAAUGGCCACGAAACCAUCGAAUCCGCGGACCGAUCAUCGUCAAUGAUUUCCGAACUUCAGGCUGUUGGAUUUUGACUGACCAAACGUUUGCCAUGUAUCCACCUAACCACAUUAUCGUCGGUAUUCGAUUCUUUGAUUUGGCUAAGUUAAAGAUUUCAUCUUCUCCAGUGUUCGCUUAAGUUUUCCAAUUCUUGAACUCCUGCAGGGUCUUGAUGCUACGAUGGUGUGUGUGCAUUCAAUCAAUCUGUUGUUUGUUUUGCUUACUUUUUAACUUUCAUCUUAGGUUAUUCUUUCUAGGUGGUUAAAAGAGGGUGAAAGUGAUAAUGUGGUGGGCAAGGUUUGAUGUAAUUACUUCGUUACUGCUGUUUUCUGCAUGUCGCGUUGUUGUUAAUAUUCGUAAUGUUGUUUAGAUUUGUACAAUGCCGCAUUAAGACUUUUUUCAGUUUGGUGAGCUGUUGUUAUUCUUGCAAGUUUCAUUCGCAUUUAUUAUUUCCCAAUCGGCUGAUAUUAUUUGGGUGUGUUAUGCUAACUUUUGAGGAGUUACAUCUGCAGCUGAUUUAUUUAAUAUCUUCCUGGCUAAUUAUAUAUUAACUUGUUAGGUUCAACUUUAUGCUCUUGUGAAGUAUUAGCACACAAAGUAAACUCGGAUUCUCUAUACUCUAUUUUAUCACUUAAGAUGAAAUAAAACAAUCUUAAACUUAGAAGAGCAUACUAAAAUUCAGCUUGGAAUUCUAUUUCCAACAUUCUGAGAAAAUCUAAGUUCAGCGAUCCUGUGUUUUAAUUUUCCACUCUUUUCUCUGCUUUGCCUCAACUUUGCAGUGAACAGAAUCUCGGAAAGAUGCAGAAACAACGGAGCAAAUUAUUCACCACAAAAGCUCUAAAGUGAAUGCUUUUUUAAAGAUUUUCAUUUUUGACCAGGUUUGCUUUAUACCCCUAGGUUUUGUUUCACCCCCAAAUUAAUUUUAUAUGCCACUUUUGGUAAAUAAUCAGAAAAGGAGCUAAAGUUCAUCUUCAGCUUCUGAUUUUUUUUUUUUUUUUCGAAAUUCACGUGCCAUUGGAUGCAAUAAUAAAAAAUAUGGAUUUUUAUUCAUUAACAAUAAUUGCAAUCACUCUCACAUCAAUAAUCCGAGCUGUGAUCUCACACCACCCCUUAAUAAUAUAAUGAACUUAAAUAUAAGCUAGAAUAUGCCUGGUUGUUUCCCUCAUUCUAUGUCUACCUAAUUGGAUGGAUAAUUUUAUUCCAGUAGUUUCAUUUUGAUUCAUUUAAAAAACGCCGCGUUGCGAUCGAUGCACGUCUAUUAGGUAGGGUUUAUAGGUCAAAACAGUGAUUUUAAUACAACUAAUGGAGCCAACUCAGAGUGAUCAAUUGAAGCCAUUAAGAUAAAGUAUGCCCACUUGUCGGUGCCGUUUAGCUUUGAUUAUGCACGUCCUAAUUCGAAAAUCAGGUCAAAAAAUAUAUCUAAAAACAAAACAUAGAACCAAAGUUUGGUGGUUUUCUAUAUAGUAGUUGUAUCGCAUCAUUUAUAUUUUGAACUAAUUAAGUAAAAAGACUUUUGAGAUGAAAAUAUAAUUAUUUUCCUCAAAUAUUUUUCACGUAAGUUAAUAGCAUGUCAUAAAGCUAAUGAUUACAGAGGCUAAGAUCGAUCAGCAUGAAGAAAUCAUUAUGAACCGUUACUACAAUGACAAAGUAGAUUCCAUUGCUGUAAACAAUGUAUUUGAUUAUUUCACACAUUAAUAGAUAGAGGUGAGGAAACAUCAUUUUGUAUGCUCGUAAACAUAAAGCACAUAUAAAUUAAAGCCACCACAUGCCAAAGUUCCCUUAGGUUUGUACCAACUUUUGUUAGUCAUGCAUAGAGACUUUUAUUAGGAUCUUAUUAUUUAUUAUUUAAUACCCACUAACCACCAACAAGGAGUUAUUAUCAAGAACUAAUAGAAUAUCAUCUUUCAGUGGUUGGUCCGAAACUGCUACUAUUUUUUUAGCUGCUGUUAACAAUUUAAUUUACAAAAUGGUCGAAAGAAGCUCACUGCUACAGGAAUCUUGAGCAUCAUUAUAAAAGAAGUUUAAUUCCCCUUCUAGUUCACUUUAAAUGAAAAUUCGAAAUCAUGAAUUGUUCGAUGUAAUCAACUCACUUGACAUUGCAAAUAUUCGUGUUUCCUUCAUUUUUUUUGUUUCUUUUAUUGGUGGCUUAUUUUAACAUGUAUUUCAAUUUGAUAUGCAUUAGGUGGGAAUUAUGAUUAUCAUCAUCAUCGUCAUCAUCAGUAGCUUGGUUAUCUCAAUGCCAAUGUGUACUCAGCAGUUACACAUAUUUUACAACUAAUUUAAGUACAAAGAGAGAUUAUUAAAGUUGUUUUGAGUUAUAAAUAAAUGUCAAGAGAUCGACGUGAAGAAAUUAAUUGCAAUAUCUAUCAUGUGGUGUGAGCUGUAAAGUUGAAAAAGAUGAUAACUCCCAAUAAUAAAGUAGGGCAUUUGUGCUCUAUAAAGAAGAGAAAGGUUCAAUUAAAGGAGAAAAUUGGAGAGGUGGAGCAAAGAGGGGAGAGAUGCUGUGCAUCUAAAGGUGUAAAGGGCAAAAGAAAAAGGAUUGGAAAUAGUAAUGAAUAUUUAUUGGACACUGGGGAUUGGACAAAGUGAUUAUGUUUAAUUUGUUUCGGAAAUCGUAAUACUUGGGUAAUAAAAAGAAGGGAAUUUUCAUUUUUAAUUUGAGCCCAAUAGAAACUAUUAAUGGCUCAUUAAUCACCUCACCAUGUAGGUAAAAUUGUACCCUUUAAUUAAGGCGGAAUAGCACAUUAAUCACUUUUCAGGUGGAAUUAAUGCAGGAUUUAUCGGUUUGAACCCCAUUUAAGAGAGAGAGAGAGGUUGAUGAGAUGAGAUAAAGAAAGAGGAUCUUAUUUCCAAAUUUAACUGCUGUAUAGAGUUAAGAAGGAUUGCACAGAUUAGUUGGUUAUAAAUCGAGUGGAAUCUAAGUUGUCAAGGGUAGAGACCUUUACGCGUGCAUUUCUAACCAAACGGAGGUUUGAGUCUCCGAUCUUUGAGACACCCUAAGAGAGAUUUUGUUUUCGGAUCAAAUUGCUAGAUAUAUACUAACACGGAUUGCGCAAAAUAGUUGGUUAUAUCUCAUAGUGCUAUCUAGGUUGUCAGAGGUUUACACUUUUACGUGUGCCUUUCUAACCAAAUAAACGUUUGAGUCUCCAACUUCUGAGAUUUUGCUUUCAGAUCAAACUGUUAAAUAUAAAAAGAAGGAUUGCACAAAAUAAUUGAUUAUAUCUCGGAGUGCAAUCUAGGUCGUCAAAUGUUCAAACCUUUUUGUGUGCAUUUCUAAAAAAAUAGAGGUUUGAGUCUCGGACUUCUGAGACACCCUUACAGAGAUUUUGCUUCCAGAUCAAACCUUUAAGGGCGUGUUUGGUUUAAGGGUGGAAUUGGAAUGGAUAAUACAAUGGGAAUGAAUUGGAAUGGUAAUUGGAAUGGCCCACUCCUCCAAGACGUUUGGUUUAUUUGUGGAUUGGAAAUUAGAAUGAGUUAUUCACAUUUCAUUGUUUGGUUCGUAUAAACUAAAAAAAUUAUAGGAUACUAUAAUACUAAUUUUACUCUCAAAUAUAAAUUUAUAUUAUUUAAAAUUUAUGAAAAAUAUAAUACUAUUCUCUAAUAAGUUUUCUAAAAAAAAAUAUCAAAUUUAUUUUUAAAAACUUUUAUUGAUGUGGGUUAGGAAUAGAGUUUUGAGAGAGAAUAGAUUUUUUUUUUUUUUUUUUUUUGAUGAGAAAGGGGUAAAGAGAAGGAGGGUGAGAUGGUCACAUGGGCUUCGAAAACUUAGUGGGCUUCCGAAAUGAAAUCUCAAUCCGGACUAGAAGACCGGAAUCAAGUUGAAGGCUAACGGGUCAUUCCCAUUCCGGUCCAGAAUAGGAAUCCCAAAUCGAUUCAUGUGAACAAAACAAAAUUAACCGAAUUUGAUCAAACCGAUUCCCAUUCUAUACCCAAAAUGGAUGAACCAAAUAAGCCCUAAGUGUGUAUUUCUGAAAACAAAAUAGAGAUUUGAGUCUCCGACUAUCAGUAUAGGCUUUUGCAAGGAAUCCAAUGUCUAAGAGUAGAUACCCACUUUUUUUUAACCUGUGUAAACUCAAGCCAGGUAACGACGCCGAGGAAAAGGCCAAGCUACCUCAAUGUAAGAUGGGCUCUCGGCCCAUAAUUCUUUUACUUUUUUCAUGAAAGGUUUGGGCUUAAUACAAAGAAAUGAUGAAUGGACCGAUAUUAUGAAUAAAACGGGCCGAUGCUGGAGCCCCAACAUGGGUUCGUCCUUCGCGCACGAAAUAAUUUAUCUUAACUGGAUUUGAGUCAGGACCUAACUUGGUCACAUGUAGGCCCUAUAUCACUCGAUAUUUGAAACUUAGUAGCAUAUUUAUAUCUAUCUACGAAAAUAACAUCGCGUGCUAUACAAAGCAAUAUCGUUUUGAAAAUAUUUCUCUGCUAAACAAAUAGCAAAGAAGCACCACCAAAUAUUUUUUUUUAAAACUUUAAGAAAGUUCAACGAGUUUGCACAGAAAACCUUUUCCCUUAUAUACUUACGGAAGAUAUUUUGGUCCCCAAAGCAUAGUUUUGUAACAUCGUCAUGUUCGAAUAACCUAUGAGCUAGCGCCCUUUGGCUUUUAGUUUGUGACAGAGAUUACACUUAUCAUCAAAAACCUUUUUUUUAGAGAAAGUUAGCAUGCUAUCCACUUCAUUUAUUAAAAAGAUAAAUUAAACUAUACCCUGUAAGAUAAUAAACUUCUGGGUAAAAAAAGGGUAUGGGCAGUGUCGUUUAGUCGAGCAACGUUCCUUCCACUGGAUCAUCAAUUGCCUAAUCUUGUUAACUGCUAGUAGGGGAUCAGUGUUAGUAUUUCUAAAAAUAAUAUUAUUCCUUACAGUCUAAACGACCCACCAACUAACUAUCAGUUUGGUUAGUCUAGUUCAAAUAGACUGUGUACCUUUCCCUGUCAUCCAUUUAUCCCAGACGAAUCUCACAUCCAUUAGGAUCUUUACUUUCUGCUUACGGUAGUUAACGUACACAAACAUGACAACUAAAACAUACCUAACUAACCCAAUUUGAUUGCAUUGUAAUUGAUUAACCUCUUAAUUCAUUACUACCAAUGGACGCAAUAGACACGAAAACUCACUACUACAUAUAGUGAGCAUGUAACUUUCAUGUUCCUAUUUACUUACAAGAUCCUUGUCCCACCAACUCCACAAACCAAUGGCGUUCGUUAUUUAUGCAUCACUAGAUCUUAUGAUAACUAUACUAUUUUGUAUAUCCCCCUUCCACAAUCUAAUUCUAAAUUUAACUAAUAAAGCAUGACAUGAAAUAUUUUCUUAGAAUCUGAAUAGGAGUUGGAUAAAACAAAUAAUUACUAACCAUCCUAUUCCAAAAUUGCAUAUUAAUUUCUCUCCUGGUCUUCAUAUUCAAAGCUCAAUCCCUCUACCACCAACAAUUCAACACUAUUCAAAAGUGUUAUAGUUUCAUAUAGCAAACCUGUUGACACAUAUUUUUGCCCCUUUCCUUCUAAUUAAGAUCAUUAAAGUGGCUAUUAGUGACCCGUGAAGCAAUAAUAUACUAUCAUGCACCGAUCGAAACUCGUCAUCCUCAACUGUUCAAAUCACUGUUAGGCACUAACCACGUUACACGAGCCAAAACCCGGAUCGGUUCUCGCAACUUAGUCCUCCGAUCGACCAUGGAUCGAGUCAUGCGAGCCCACCAGCUCUAAUCGGUAGGGCUGGCAAACGAGCGAGCCGGCUCGCGUUCGACUCGUGUUCGGCUCGAUAUUCGGCUCGCUCGAGCUCGACUCGAAAUUAAAUGAGCCGAGCUUGAACAAAAUAAAAGGCUCGAAAUUCAUUUCAAGCCGAGCUUGAGUAUUAUUCGGCUCGUUCGAAUUAGGCUCGAAAAGCUCGAAAAGCUCGAAAAUAUAUAUAUAGGUUGGGGCUACUAUACUCUUAUGAGUAUAGACCCCCUUGUACUCAUAAAUUUUUAACCGUUGAUUGAUGGGAUAUAUGGUUAGGAUGAUGGUGGUCCCCACUUAGAAUGACAGUGGUCCCCUAGGGUUGAGGGGGUAGUUGGUUAAAUAGUAUGAUCUAACGGAUGAAAACGAUUAAUGGAAUAAAUCUAAGGGUUGAAAACUUAUGAGUAUAAAGGAGCCAAUACUCAUAAAAGUAUAGCAGCCGGACUCAUAUAUNUGGAAUGCACCACCCACCUUAGAUGGUCACAAGGAUGCUACGGUGAAUUUCUUGAAAUUUUUGAAGCCCUAGUCCGCGUGCUGUGGCUAUCUGUACGGAAAAUGACAUUUUUGUUAAUAACUUUGCGUACACUCGUCGGAUUGUCGAACCGAGCGUUCCAACACGUUUAAAAUACCCUCAAUUAGGUUUCUACAUGAUCAAAAUAGAUCAAAACCCAAUUUGGGCAAAACCCCUCUUUGGGAUGCCCUAACAUGUUAUUUUUGCAUUUCUCCGAGAUUGAUCUCAUUCCUAAGCAAAAGAUAACUUAGAUUCACAUGGGAAGCUCUCUAAUAAGGUUUCUAAGCUUUUAGAACCAUCCCUAGGGCAUCUACUUUGAGCCCUAGUGAUCCACCAUGAGAGGGGUCUAAGAAAUCUAUAUUUUUCAUGGAGUCAUGGUCCUUAGAGGAUUUCCUCACUUGUAGAGAGAUCAAACCCAAAAAUCUAAGGUCUAAACCCAAACCCUAAACUCAUUUUUGCAUAAGGACUCACCUUUGCCCAAGCUCCACCAAAGCCUACUUGUUGGAGAGCUUCUAGGACCACCAAAGCCACCAAAAUCCACUUCUCCAAGCUCUUCUCCACCUUCUCCAAGCUCUAGGGCUUGCUUUCUAGAGAGAGAAAGAGAGGAAAAUGAGAGAGAGGGUGAAAUGGGUGUUGGCUGUGAGGGGAAGGGGUAUUGGGCUAUUAACAUGUUGUAACAUUUGCCAAAAAACCCUCCCAAUCUUUAUAUUUUGCAGCAGACCUUUUUUUGCUGUCGGGCCCAAAGUGUACCGGUACACUUUUUCGUGUCACCGGUUACACGACUAUGCAGAGGCAAACCCGAGAGCAGAUCUGUCAGUUUCGCCCAAAGUGUACCGGUACACUUUUUCGUGUCACCGGUUUCAGCAUGUGUAACCGGUGACAGGUCGCUUGCUGUACCGGUACACAUUGCUCCACACCUGAUUUUUGGCUCCGUUUCGAUUCUAUUUUGCGCCGAUCGAUGCCAAAACCCUUCUAACACUUCUAGAACUCAUUUUUAACCCUCCCAACAGUGUUGGUAGGUUAAUUGGAACUCGCCCAAUUAAUCCAUUCGCGCACUUUAGUCAGUUUGCCUAAAGUUCGUCACUUUCUAUCUAGGUUUCAAUACGUUACAAUUAUUGUUGGCCCAUAAAAUAAACCCAACAAGUACAACCGUGCAAUUGAGCCCAAUUUUAAAUUUACAUAACACACUCUCUCUUUUAGACUUUUACUUUUGCACAUAACCCUAAAAUAUGAUAACAUUCAAAUUUUCAAAUUCCUAAUUUUUUUCUCUUCUCUCUUUCUCUCUCUCUCUUUGACCCUCACUCGGUCAGGCAGUCACCCUAGCUCAUAUUUCUUGCAAUUAUUUUGUAUUUUGAAUUAUUGGACAUGUUGCAUCAAAUUGUAGGUAAUGUUUUAUAAAAAUUAAACUAUUGAUUAUAUAAUGUCGAGAAUUUCAAUCGGCUCGUUUAGAGCUCGAGCUCGGCUCGACUCGAAAUUAGGCUCGCUCGAGCUCGGCUCGAAUUAAUUUCAAGCCGAGCUUGAGCCUAGAUUUAGGCUCGAAAUUAAUUUCAAGCCGAAUUUGAGCCGACAUAAGCUCGCUCGAGCUCGGCUCGUUUCCACCCCUACUAAUCGGUUCACUCGACGACUGGAUCCGGCUAGCUGUGCGUGGUCCGAUUGCUUGGAGAGCUAGCCGAGGACACAAUUUACCAAAUUUAAGUCUAACUAUGAUGCUCGAACAUGGCCAAGUGCUGCAAUUAAUAUAGCUAACCAACUCACACGAAUAUGGUCUAUGAAAUAAAUGGUCAAAUUUAAACCAAUUAAGCUAAGGCUUAUUAAUGGAUAACAAUUAUAUAUAAACAAAAAUAAAGGUAAAUAAUUAAGAAAGAGAUACAACUUGAAAGAAAAGAAAAUUCUUAAUUAGUUAUGAACUACCACCAUCUCAUACCUCGAAGUGCAAAUAACAACUUAGAAUUUACAUAUUCCAUCUGGUCUACAGGUCAAAUUUGAUCAAAAGCAGCUGCACCACUCGUUUAUUGCCACACACAAGGUAAAACCUGAUUAAUUAAGGGAAAAUAAGUUUUGGUUAACAUUUUUUGUUCAACAAAUUAAGUACCUUAACCCAAGAGCCUAAACCAUGAACCUUAAUUAAUCUACUUGAUCUUUGACCUGUGUAUGGAUGAAUAGUACUUUUUUGAAUGUAAUCUAAUCUAAAGAUUGUCAGUAGGAGGAAUCAGGAAUUUAGUCAGAUAGUGGGCGUAGUUCCUGUAAGGUUAGAUAAGUCGUCCGAUUUGGUGAGUUCUUUUAUCUGUUUCUGAAUUCUUUUUCUGUUUUUUUUUUUUUUUUUUGUUUUUACUCUCUUCUUUUCUUCUUUGAGGCUCGGUCGCGUCACAAUUGUAGCUAAGUUUAUAUGUUUAUUGUAUAAAAAAGGAUGACGUGACGUCUUUUUCUAAAUAUUUUUUUUAAAAAAAAUUCUAAAGAUUAAAGAGCACACAAACCACGAUUUUGCUGUGGGAGUCACGUCCCGCUCCGGGCCCAUUUUGAACGACAAAACACUACCUGAAUUUGUAUUAUUGUGUUCAGGUACGGAGCUUAAUUAAUUGAGUCCAAAACCUACCCAAGCAUAAGAGAACUAAUCAAAUAAAGGGAUUUUCAAAUAAUUUUCAUAAUUCACACAUAUUAAUUAUGUCUCUGUAUAAUUUUGAUACGUACACGCAAACAAAUUGUAUGAUAGGUUGGAUGUAUGUAUUGGGGUCUGGUAGUUUCCAACAUAAACGAAUCGCCAAAUCGAUGCAAUACAUAUUUAAGUCCAAACUGAUGCAAGUUGACGCGAUUAACAAAUAAUUUAUUACUUAUUAAUAUUUAUAGUUAAAUAGUAUGUACUUAUACAAUCUUAAAUUGAUUCAUGAGUCCAACUAACCUAGCUAAUUGUGAAACACAAACAUAAUAAUAUGCCAAGUCAAAUCGUCAACCCUUUUCGAGAAAAUAAAAUUCUUUUAUACAAAGAUAGUAUAUAACUAUAUAUGCUAUUCGUUUAAUUAUUUUUUUUUAAAAAAAUAAAUUUAAUUAAAAAUAUGAAAUAAUUAUGUUUUGAACUUGCAACUUCGCAUAUUAAUCGUCAACUUUUUUUAGUACUGUGCUAAGAACGAUGAUUUCUAAUUUUUUUCCAAGAAAGUUACUGUUUCCUACAUAAUGUAUGUCCAUAACUAAAGUCCUCACAAACCAGGUUUGACGUGACCUUCAACAAACCUGGAUACGCUACACUACAUAAUGUGCUUCAAAUGUUCAAGCCAAUUAAUUCAAAACCGACGUAAUUAACCAUUUUUAAUAAAAAGAAAAUCAAAAUCAAAAUCAAUCUAAUGUAACGCUUAUUCACGGAAACCAUGCAUGCACGCAAUCAUUGUUCAAACACCACCUAACUUUUGUUCAAAUCUAAAACCUUCGCAGUGUCCGAUAAAAUUGGCUCACUAGCUAUACGCCUAUAUAUAUAAAGGAGCUAACCCUCUUUAUAUAUAUAUCUCUCUCUCUAUAUGUAUAUGUACUUGGCCUAGUAAUCCUUCAUAUAUAUAUAGCUAAAUUAACUAUGGCCAAGUUACUCACCCAACUCCUUGUUUUCUCUCUCCUUUUGGCCUUUAGGGUUGUAACCUGUGCCCCAAUACUAUCAUGUAGCCAAACUCCUUAUCCUCAAGUUUGUACCUCAAUGCUAAACCCUAGCUCUUUCUUUGCUCAAUCCAAAACUAAGUCCAAGUUCCACAACUUGGUUCUUCAAGCAACCCUCGACCGAGCCGUUCUAGCGCAUCGUCUCGCGUCGGCUUUGGACGUUAGCUCACUCGACCACCGAGCCAAGUCGGCCUGGGCCGACUGCUUAGAGCUAAGCGAGGACACCAUUAACAAGCUCAAUAGCUCGAUCUAUUCCAUACCCAGUGAUGAUGCUCAAACUUGGCUAAGCGCGGCAAUGGCGAACCAACAAUCGUGUCAUCACGGUUUCCUUGAACUCAGUUCUCUACACCACUUCUCUUCCUCACCCUUCGUGUCCAACAAUAUAACCAAAUCUCUUAGCAACUUAUUAGCCAUUAAUAAGGCAAUGGCGACGGUCGAGUCGCGCGGUAACAACCGACGCUUGCUUUCUCGUGGGUUUCCAAAAUGGAUCAAACCUGCGGACCGCAGACUUCUGCAGUCCUCAACCUCAUCGAUAAAAGCAAAUCUCGUGGUGGCGAAAGAUGGCUCGGGCGAUUACACGACCAUCUCCGCCGCUGUGGCGGCAUCCGCGAAGCGACGGAGCGGCACUUCGAGAUAUGUCAUAUACGUUAAGGCCGGCAUUUACAACGAGAAUGUGCAGAUCACGGGGUCGACGAAAAACCUCAUGCUGAUCGGAGAUGGAAUCGGCGCGACGAUCGUCACCGGUAGCCGGAACGUAAAAGAUGGAUCCACGACGUUCCGGUCCGCAACCUUUGGUUAGUUGGUUAAAUAUUCUUUGUCGUCAUCAGAUUUAAUUUCGUGCUUAGUUGAAAUUACCUACACCAAACUCUAGGGUUUUUAGAAGGCCAUAUAUAUAUCUCUUUUGUUGCAUGCACGUACGAGAAAGAAGUUAUUUACCAUACACGUGCUGGCUCAAAACGUGAUUGCUCUUUGAAUAAUUCAGAGCUAAAUUUACCUACAUCAGUAAUUUGUUAAAUAAACGGUUACUGAUGCAAAAGCUUGUAAAAUUAAGGAUAAUAUAUUUAACUACAUAAUUAAUUUGAUGUUAUUGGUCUCCUCAUGGCAAUUGUAGCUGUUGUUGGCGAUGGCUUCAUUGGUCGGGACAUGACGUUUCGGAACACGGCCGGGCCACAGAAGUAUCAGGCGGUUGCCCUUCGGUCGGGAUCAGACCACUCGGUCUUCUAUCGGUGUAGCUUCGAGGGCUACCAGGACACCCUCUACGUCUACUCGCAGCGUCAGUUCUACCGCAACUGCGACAUCUACGGUACGAUCGACUUCAUCUUCGGCGACGCUGCAGUCGUCUUUCAAAGCUGCAACAUAUUCGUGCGAAAGCCGCUUGCAAACCAGGAGAACACCGUGACGGCCCAAGGACGGUCCGACCCGAACGAGAACACGGGGAUAUCCAUCUACGGCUCUGUGAUCACGGCGGCGUCGGACCUCAAGCCGGUGCAGGGCGCAUUCAAGACGUACUUGGGCCGGCCAUGGCGCGAAUACUCGAGAACGGUGGUGAUGAAGACGUCGCUUGAUAGCCUGAUCGAUCCAGCGGGGUGGCUCGAGUGGAGCGGGAGCUUCGCGCUGAGGACGUUGUACUACGGAGAGUACAUGAACAGCGGGCCGGGAGCGGGCACGGCCAGGCGGGUGAAAUGGCCAGGGUACCACGUCAUAACGAGUGCGGCGGUGGCCGGGGAAUUCACUGCCGGGAGGUUCCUGAAUGGGGAUUCGUGGAUUCCAGCGACCGGUGUUCCCUAUACUUCCGGUCUCUAAGAUGAUCUUAGCUAUACAUGUCUUUUUUUUUUUUCUUUCUUUUGUUGUUUGGGUCUCUUCUGGGUUUGUUCAUUAGUAGAAAAGUUAUAGUAAGCUGAUGGAUAGACACGUACGUGAAUCGUAUAAGAUGUGAAGUGAUAGUUGCAUCUCUGUCGAUCGAGAUAGGGCUGGUGCGUUGGAUGAUGUGUUUCUGAUUAAUUUACAACAAUGUCAAAUGUGUACUUUAUAAUGUUGAAAAUAGUUAUAGCUGUGCAUCGGAUUGAUUAUUUCCUCUAUUGACUACACGUAAAGCUUGUUUCUCUCUCUUUCUCUCCCCUCUAUGUACACAGGUAAACAUAUUUUUCAAAGAGCCAAAGGACGAUAAAUCGAAAGAGAAGAAAAUUUACUAAUUAUCAAAAUUUUUAAGAAUAAAUAUACGGAUUCCUAUCGAUCUUAGUGGAGUGAAUGAAACUUUUGACAACAAAAAAUGUUCUCCCUCAAUAUAUACUUCAAUGAAAAAUGCUACUUGUACAUUCCAUCCAGAGUGUUUAAGUUUCAUUCUGUCCAUCCAAUAGGUGAGAUAUUAAUUAUCAGUCACAUCAAGUGAUUUGAUGAAAAUACCUCACUUAUUGGAUGGGUGAAAUAUAAGAUAUACCUCCCAAAUGAAGCGUAUAUGUAGUAUUGAUCUUAUAAGAUAUUUAGAAUUUAGUAAUGAUUUGAUAAAAUAGUAAUAAUCCAGGGGUGAAACUAGUAGAUGCCUAAAGUUUAGUGGGGUUGGUAAAAUAGUAAAAAUACAAGAAAAAAAAAUUUAAUGAUAAAUACUAUUUAUAUAAUAUCAAUAGUAUACUGUGUGAACUAUAUAUAUGUAUGUAUAUAUUGAGUUCGGCUACUAUACUCUUAUGAGUACGAUCGUAUUCGUAUUUAUAAGUUGUUUUCGAUGAUAAAACUUUUAAAUCGACGAUCCACACUGUUAAAAAUUAUCUAGAGCAUUUAAAAUUCUAGAAAUCAAAUUUUAUAAUCUUUCGAUAUUAUUUACCUUACGAUCAAAAUCUCACAAAAUUGAUAAUUUUUAACGACCAGUAUGUGAUACUUGCUAGUUUAACGGUGUAAAAGAAUCAGAAUAGCUUGAAUUUUUUAUAGAAAAUUCUAUUCAUUAUCUAGAUAAAGAUCAAUAACCCCGAUCUUAAAUUGAAGGAUCCGAUCAUUCAUUUUUAGAACGUCGUUCGAUUUUAACUGUUCAUUUUAUAUCUGCUUGAUAGACUUUAUAAUGAUUUCGAGAAAUUACGAAAUUUAUUUUCUAAAAGUUUCGAAUACUCUAGAUCAUAUUUAACUGUCUGGAUUGUCGAUUCGGAAGUCCCAAUAUCGAAAACAACUUAUGAGUACGAAGGGCUCUAUACUCAGAAGAGUAUAGUAGCCCUACUCGUAUAUAUCAUCCAAAUGAGACAAGAAUUAGCUGCUUGCCUUAGUAUUUGUAAUCAAUCAACUAAAUGGAGAUUAGAAAAGUUAUAUAAUUCAAAAAAGAAAAUGGUAAAAGGUUCGAGGUUGCUCUCCUGGCGAGCAAUAUUUAAGCUCAAUAUGCGGCCUCUGUUUUCAUUCGGUGGCGAACACUGGACAGUUAACUAGUUAAGUAGUACCUCGCGUACGUAGUACGGUUAAAAUAAGUCCAGCAGAGUACAUCACAUCCAAAAUUUACACAGGAAUAAUGCUCUCUCCGCAGCCAUCUUUUUCUCUUUUCUUUUUUAGAAAAGAUAGCGCGCUUUCCGUUUUAUUUAUUAAGCAAAAUAAAUUAGACUUACAUCGCGGAAUGAGUCAGGGAAAAUCACGUUAGGAAAAAAAAAAUAAAAUAAAGUGAAUAAAAGGAAAACAGAGAGAGAGAAAGAGAGAGAGAGAGAGAGAGAGAGAGAGAGGAGGCACACAAGUUCGAAUCGAGAGAGAGAGAGAGAGAGAGAGAGAGAGAGAGAGAGAGGAGGCACACAAGUUCGAAGUUAGUCGAGUUUACUCCAGGUAGCCAAAAGAAGUUGCACACGUUCCAGUGAUUGGAAAGGAUUGGGAGAUUUCGCUAGAAAGAUAAAGUUAUUCUUUUUAGUUGGCCAGCUGACCACCUACCAACUAACAGACAAAAGAGUUAACCCUUUUUUCCUAAUGGGCAGCCACCUUUUACGAUCCGAUUCAUUUAGGCCCGUUUGGUUGGCGGUAUAAGUGGGGAUAACGAAAGUUAUCUCCGCUAUUCCGCCAAACAAAAUAAUUUUUGGCCGAAAUAUUUUAUCCAGGUUAAAUUUUACUAUUCCCAGCUAUUCUGGAAUAGCUUGUUAUUUACUGUUCCACCAUUUCGGUGGAAUAGUGCUAUUCCAAUUUUUAAUUUCAAACUUUAUUAAAAUUAUAAAUUAAAUUAAAAUAAAUUAUAUAAAUAUAAUAUGUUAUAUAUUAUAAUAUAUUAUUUUUAUUAUAAAAUUAUUAAUUGUACUAUAUUAAUACAUAUUAUUUAUAUUUAAAUUAUAUUUAAGUAGAAUUUGUAAUAACUUAUUUUUUGUAAAAGCUUAUUUUUAUAAUAAAUUUUUUUUAUUAAAUUUAAGUUUAAGUAGAAUUUUAAAAAAAUUUAUAAAUUUAUUAUAAUAAAUUAUUUUUAUUAAUUGUUCCCGCCCUUAGUAGUAUUUUAAAAUUUUAAAAAUUAAAAAUUUAAAUUUUUAAAAUUUACAAUUUAUAAUCUCAAAAUUAAAGUUUAUAAUUUUAAAUUUUAAAUUUAAAUUUUGAUAUUUUAAAUUUUUAAAAUUUAAAAUUUGAUAUUUUAAAUUUUUCAAAUUUAAAUUUGAUCUUAAAUUUAAAGUUUGAAAUUUAAAAUUUAAAAAUUUGAAUUUAAAAUUUGAGAUUUUAAAUUUCAAAUUUCUCAAAUUUUAAAAUUUUAACUUUAAAAAUAUAAAUUUAAAAUUUUAAAAAUUCAAAUUCAAAUAGAAUAAGAGGAUAAUAUCAUUACUUUUUAUUUAGAAAACUCACUAUCCUUCUUAUUCCAUUUUACCUAACCAAACACUAUUUAUUUUAUUUUCAGGAAUGACCCAAUUUUCAUCCAAACGCAAAAUUGAUCUAAUCCCGCUUAUACCUCAAUUUAUACCUAUCCCUGGAACAGCCACUUUUUGCUUAUCCCCGAACCAAACGAUACCUAGAGGAUUACUAUCAUCCUAAUCCUAUAAUUUUUUAUUUAAGGGUUAAAAACUCGAUAGUAAAAGAGCCCAAAUACUAUUAAUAAUAUUAUAGCCCAAUUUUAUAUAUAUAUAUAUAUAUAUAUAUAUAUAUAUAUAUAUAUAUANAUAUCCUUUAAUUCUUAUUACAUCUUACCUGAUGAAACGUUUUUUUUUUUUUAUUCCUAGGAAUAACCUAAUUUUUAUCCAAACAUAAAAUUAAUUUAAUCUCCGCUUAUACCUUAAUUUAUAUUUAUUUAUGAAAUAGUUACUUUUUGCUUAUCCCCGAGCAACACGAUACCUCAGGAUAUGAUAUGAUCAGUAUUAAAUGGUACGUAAAAGUCAAGGUUGUGGGCUGUUAAGAGGCCGGGGGUAGGACGCAAAAGUGGUUUCUUUUGGUACUCAACUACUUACUGUUGCCAUGCAUGAAGGACUACUUCGUAGUUCGUACGUACGUGGAGUAUGUAUUUUCCAUAUAUAGCCUCUGAAUCGUCCACGUUGUAGUUGGAUAAGUGGCGGCAAGCUUCAGCAAUAACUAAAGAGUGGGAAUUUAGCUUCGUAGAUAAGGAUUAGUGACGUAGCAGCAGGCAUUAAUGAUGUUGGUAGCGAAACUGAGACUGGGAUUGCUUGAUGUAGAAACAAAGUACGUGCGUGCGUGUAACAGAGGGAAAGGAGUCAAUCCUGAAUAAUAUAUUAAAUUAAUAUAUGCAAACUUGCUAAGUCCGGAGUUGGACGGCGCAGAUUUUCUUAACUCAUAAUUCUCAUUGCUUAAAGUAGAGCAGUACUAAUAUAUCAGAAGAAGAAAAUGUAUUGUAUCUCGAGUAGUUAAAGAAUUUUCUAUAUAUAUUAUUAUCAUUGAUAUGUUGGGAUGAGAAUAAACCGAAUAAAACUAUAUAGCAAAGAUUAAAAAAAAAAUUAUGAAUCCCUGCAGCAGUACGAACUUGACAUAUUUAAUUAUUGGUCAGUUGCGUGGAAAGAAGAGACCUAAGCUUAAUCCAAAAAACCGUACCACUGGAUGUGAAUGGAUGGGUGUGUUCGGAGGACGCGGCAUUACUUGGUUAGUUUGCCAGCUUUGCUAAUGGACAAUAUACAUGUGGCUGCGUACAAGCUAUAUAGUCUACAUUCACUAUAAAAAAAUUAAUAUUUUUUUUUAUUUUUAACGAUAUUAAAAAGCAUUCUAAUAUAGAAUAUAUUUUUAUAUUAAACAAUAUUUAAGAACAUUCUAAUAUAAUUUAACGUCAUAUUUAAAAACAUCAGUUAAAAUAUCGGCAAAUAAUUAAAAAAUUGCUGCGGAUAUAUCAACAUUUAUGCCAAAUACUUUACAUAAAGUGUCAAAAUUUUUAAAAUCUUGAGGCUUAAAGUAUCAAAAAUUUAAAAAUAUAAUACUUAUUUAACAAAUUUGUUUCAUACAAAAUAUAGGGGGUUCAUAUAACAACGCUUCUUGAAACACCAAUAUUUGUUAUAUUGUAGGAAAGUUUGAAGAUUUUUUUUCCAAGCAUCGUCUAAAAAAUAUAUUUAUGUUUGGAUAAAGGAUAUUUAUAUUUAGAUUUUCUUGUAGUGAUUAUACGGUCGGAGAUAGGGGUGGCGAAAACAAAAUCUCUGUCGUUCGGAGAAAUUCUGAUCCAAACUGAUUAAAAAACGCAACCGAUUUUUUAAUUCCUUUUCAACCUAAAAUUGAACGCGUCGGAUACGUUGACAGUAAUAAAGUAAAAUGACUAGGAUAAAUGCUAGAUUAGAUGGUUCCAUUUGAAUAGUGUUUAAGAUUAUAUAUCAGUACUUUCCAACAGUUGCGAUCAUAAACAAAAGAUUCAGACCUCAAGCUCAUAUACUUUGGGCACAUAAUCCACUGAAAUUCCUAGAAUCUCGAUAUGCAAUUCGUAAAACUUGUUUGUCAAGAUAUCUUGAGAUACUACUGCCAUUGGAUGCAAGAGGUUUCGUCACCGAUUUCUUUCCAGUCUAUCUCAACCGUUAGUUUUCACAUCUACAGACAGCAAUGAUUGAUCCUGCCUUAUAUGGACGGUGACAUCAACUGGAGUGCAGAAAAUCUCCACCGACAUUACCGUACCAAAAAGAGGCUAAACAACGCUGAGAAUUAAGCAACCUUUGACCUUCGCAAUAGAGUACAUAAUUUACGGACAAUGCUUACCAACAGAUCACAAUGAGCGAGUAUGGAACAGUCGUUACGGAGUUACAUUGGAGAAAAUUGAGAUGGUGAUCAGAACAUCUCAAGCAUUCUCUAGUUGGCCCCUAAUCGACUCAAGAAAUUGGGUAGGGCUACUGCUUGUUUCAAUACUUACACAAAAGUGAAAAUACAAAGCUUUCUUAGAUGGCAAAAUGGUGAAUAACUAUCAUGAUUUAACAAAACCCUUUGAGAGCUACAACUCCUCUACCUGGAUGGAGAAUCCACAUGGGCACCUCUUUGUUCGCACAAAUAGCUCUUCGUCAAAGCUUUGAUUCUCUAAGGGAAAUACAUGCUCGUGAUCGUGAGGAGACGUCAAAACUGGCUUUGCCUCUCGUACUGAUCUUUCCUGUUGUCGGCUCGAUCGAACACCUUGUUCGGAAUGACUCUUCUCGCAAUCGGUUCGAUGAAUAUUCUCUUGGCCAUGCAAAGAUUUGGGAUUCACAUAUGAAUUCUUCAACCGUUGUCUUGUUACGAUGGAUGAAAGCAGCUGAAACCACCUUGAAAGAGCCUGUGUUUCAUUUCGUUUCCUCUCUUCAGCUACUCUUCUUUCUUCUUCUUCUGCAUAAACCUAGGAAAGAAAGAAAGGACAAAAAAAGAAAAUCACAAGUUCAAACUUCACAGACAGAUUAUUCAUCCAGAAUGACCAAAGGACAGCAUUUCAUACAACUAAAAUAGUAGUGUAGAAACCUUCAUUCCUAGUUUCAACUUUUACCUCCAAGAUUGCAUCUUUGAACUCUCUGCAGACCACAAUUCCCUCGAACAUCGGAAAAGAACGGCCAUUGCGAAAUUCAAAUCCAACCAUGGCUGGUGCAUAAUCAAUUUCAAGCCUCUUCACAACUGGAACUAGUCUGGGUAACCUCAAGUGUACUGUACCAGGUGGUAGACACUUUUCAGACCAUACUUCAACUUGACCACGCUCAUUCUAGAAAUAAUAUACAGAAGUCAGCAAAGAGUUACUAUUAUGAAGAAGCAGGAAACCAUUACAAAAAUAAGAUGAGGGUAACAGAUGAUGUAGCCGUUGAUUCCAUCCUUCUCAGUUUCUUAGCACUUUUGCUUUUCAUUUAAUAAGAUAUAUCUAUUGAGCGACAAUAGAGAGAACUCCCAAUGUAUAUACAUAUCUGUCAGAAAUUUGCCACAAAUACAAUAUUCAAGUAGCUUUACAUGGAGGAUGCUUUAAACAGAACAUAUAAAAUAUCGUACCUUAGGCACAAUGCCAUUUACAGCACGAGGCAGUUUUAAUGGUUCCAGCUGCCACUUCCCAUAGAGUUCUACGCUUGGUUCGCCUUUAUCUUCUUCAAAAACACCAGGUUCGGAUAACUGGAUAUUAAAAUUCUUGGUUGAACGUUUCAUUAUCUGAGGAGAAAUGCAUAAAUCAUCAUCAUACAGAAGACUUUUCAAGUAAUUUAAUUAAACAUUAAAAUGCCAGACCUUUGCAGGUUCCUCACUUUCUCUAACUUGCAAGCCUUCUCGUAACCACUUUUGUCUUGUUUGUAGUGUCUGAACACAAGAUCGAGGAUAAACAGGAUGCCCGGAACAAUAACCAAGUACAGGACCUUUUGGAUGAAGAAUUUGAUUCUUGGUAAGCCAUCUUUCAAUUGCGUACAGAUGAUGAUUUCUAUAUGCCUAAAUUGAACAAAAUCAACACCAAAAUAUGUAAAAUUAGUUGUAUUAAAAUAUAUUAUAUUUACAAGGAAAGUCAACAAGGUAAAAUAUGUUAUACUAAAGUCUGUUACUGUAAUACCAAUUGAUUGGUAGGAAGAGGCUCAGUUAGAGCCCUGGUUUCAAGUUCCAUAUCUUCUUGAUAAUUUCGACAUGAGAUCCCAUGGUUGUGAGAUGGACAUACUGACUUGAUAAGCCGCUCAGAUGAUUCUGCACCAAAUUCACUAGCCAAUUUGACACUUUGUGCACAAUCUUUAGUAUUGUUAGGGUCUUCAGAAUCCAUUAUAGGAGGACAGGGCGCUACAGAUACCUUUUCCUCUACAGUCGAUGGAAGUUUUUCUUGAAAUGCUUCUAAAUGAACCAUUGCACUGGUUGCACUUGAUUCCAACUCUUUCAACGGUGCCAACACCCUAUCCCACCAUUGUGGAUUUACCCUCUUUGGAGCAAUCUUAUACCACUGCAUGCAAUACCUAGAAAUUUUGGAAAGUAAAACUCUACUGAUCAUGAAAAAGCAUUUUGUUUUAACAUAUUAAUACCAUCUUUUGUGUUGGAAAAUGUGACAUAGGAAACAGAAUCAAUCAGACAACAUUCUAAUGAAGUGAUAUCAAGUUCUAAACUAACUAUUUGUAAAAACAAAAUUGACGUGAUACCGAUCCAUAUCAGUAAUGUAUGCUGUAACAUGUGAAGAAGUAGAAAUUGAAAUGUAGUGAAAUUCUAAUCAGGCCAUGCUUUCUCAUGUAACCACUAUAACUCUGAUAACACCAUGUCUCUCUGUUCAAUUCAUCCCAUCACCUAACAAUAUUCAAUCAAACUCUAUAAUCAUAGUCACCUACAAAAAGAUUGUCAGAUCUCUGAGGAUCAACUUUAGAAACACUUCAUACUAUGGUCUGGAUACCAUAAUAAUCUGUACUCGAGUGGUGUAGACUCGUAGAUUUAACAUUCAUUAGUGGAAUAGAUAGCAAAAAAGUUCGCAAAUAAGUAUAUUGUAGAUAAUUAAUGAAAAAAUUGUAAAAUUUUUAUUUUAGGUUUUCAAUUUGUAACUACGUCAAUUCGGCGUAUAUGCUAAUCUACGAAAAUUUUCCCGUACAAAACAUGAAUAAAGCAUUAAACAUCAGUAAAUAAAAGGACAAACCUGCGUGUCACAUCUUUAGCACCCUGUCCAGCAAAAGCAACAACAUAUUUUAAAGGCUUUCUGCAAGCAGCAGAAGCAGCUUCUACUUUGUCCUCACCGUCAAUAAUACCAUUUACAGCAUCAACAUGCACCCAUCUUCCAGUUAAUGUCUCCCCAUUACAAUAGACCUCCGCCCAGUAUAAAGGAGGACCUGCUCUUCUCGACCAAACUGCAUUCGAGCUACUGUAUUUCAAAGGUUCUCCAUCUUUACAUUGCUUCAAUCUCUUCAAUGGCGGAGUUAGAGAGUGUAAGCUGUUAUUCGAAUCAUCUAUCUUUAAACCUUGUUUAUUAUCUCGUGUUGCUGUCGCUGCAGUGGCUGAGAGAGCCAUUUCCAUCUGCAACUCAAACUCUAGGUCCCCCCUUUUUUUUGGUCCUUCAGAACAUUUUGACUCAGAAGCACAGCUUCCAUCUUGUAAAUUAUCGCCUGUUAAACCUUUAAGCAAAUUCUUCUUGCAGAUUGGCGUGCCCUCCUUUUUGCCACACUUGUCUCUUAGCAAAGCCCCAGUAGUUGUAUCAUUUAUUGGAUCACCCGGAUUAGGAACAGGAGAUAGAGUACCAACCAGAUUAGUGCUGUUCAUAGUGGCAAGAGAAGAAGAUACUCUUGUGUCUAGUCUAAGAACAUCUAGAUCCGAGAUUCCAGAUAGAUCUGAAUCUGGCUUGAGGGAAGCCACAUCAAGGAUGGAAACAAACCUAGAAAUCAAGAUAAGCUAAGACUAUUAUGAUUUACAACCAGGAAAGGAAAAAGACACAAACAAAACAAAAGGAUAAAAAAAUCAUAAUAUAUUUCUCAUUCUGGACUAAAGAACAAGCCUCCAUACCUUGUUGUCAAAUUGAGGGCCCUAAGUAACGCCACUGAGAGUGCAGCAACCUGUAUUACAAAUAUUUAACUGCAAUCAUAUUAACAUGCCCAGCUUCUAAAAGAGACGAUCAUAAGCAAUCAAAUAAAGAGAAAAUAGAGAGAACAUUUAUCAAAAGUUAAGCCUAAUGAAUUAAUUUGACGAAUUGCUUAAAGAGCAACUCAUACUAUUGCAUAUAAAACAUGUAUGAAAAACAACAGGGACGAAAACAGGUAGAAUUACAUUCACAUUUGCCAUGCAUCCAAAAAAUGCUAGAUAAGUAUCCUAUCUAUAAACUUAAAUGUCCAUCUAGUUAUUUAGCUAAAUAAAUGAAAACUCUUAAGCACCAAAAAAAUUGCAAAAACCAGUAAAUAAGAUGUAACAUACCUCUUCAGUAGUCCCUUCAUGAGUUUGAAGAGCAAAGACAAGGUUGGAUUCAAAUGAUCCCCUAUCAACACUUUGUGUUGAUAUAUGGAAAUUGCUACGAAACUGCAGAAAGAAGCAUAUACUAGUUAUAAAAGGAAAGAAAGACUUGAACAUGGAAAGAGUGUCUUAAUGUAUAGCAUUUCAAACGCAUUAGAUACCCAAUUUACAAGAGAGCCAAGCUUAUUAGCUGUCAAUUUUGGAACUUCCGCAAUCUUCAGUAAGUUAGAUGGUAGAAGAGAAAGUAUGGAUGCCUGCAGAGAAAUGGAAGCUUUAAAAAGUUUGAAUAAACUGAUCUUUUUAUGAGACAGUGAACAAGAUAGUACAUAAUAAUAACUGGAGUUAAAUUCAGCAUGUCAUAGACAUGAAGGUGUAGAAGUUCAUCAGUCUUGCUACUAAUAAUAAUAAUAAACUCAGGUUUGAUCGCAUUGUGGUCCCCCAAGAUUCAUAAAGGAGGUCCGACAAAUUUCCCUCUACAUCUUCCUAUUAGUACAACCUGCUUAAUAUUGUUCAAAAUAGAUUUAGCAUCUAUUGAUUAAUGAACCAUCUAGUUAUCAAAACAAGCCAAUGCACAGGAUAUAAAAGCUACGGAGACUGCAAGAUCCAUUUUAAAAAAAGAAACUGAUUAUCAAAUAAUCAAUUGGUUGAGGAGCAGUGAUUCUACAAAAUAAACAUUAUGAGAAUCAUAAAAGAGAGAUGAUCGAUUGGACUUCACCAUGUAUUAAUGUAAAUGCACCUGAAUGAGAGGGUCAUCACAAGCCUUGUCGACUACCCUACCCCGUGCAAGCAGACACAACAAAUGAACUUUGUGCACUAGCUCUGCUAGCUCCUGAAAAUAUCGCGAACCAAGUUAAUCUGGCACAUUUGUUGGGCGAAGCAAUCAUCCCACCAUAUUCUUAGGUAAAGCAAUGCCAGCUUCAGUAACUUACCUUUUCUUCAGCAGAAACCCUUCGGUUGAUCUUCCUCUCAGCAGGAGAUGGCAAGCCAGUAAAUUCAACAAUCACAUCCUUUCCAAGAUCAUGCGAGAAACCUUCUCUGCAGUCUGAAGUAGAAACAAUACCCUCCUCCCAGUCCAUCUCACUUGCAUCAAAAUGACCACUUGCCGCCUCUUCUCUUCCCGUCAGCGUACUUUCCUUUGUAUUUCUCAUACCACAUCCUUUCACAGAGACAUCGCGACUAACCACUGCCUUAGCUUUUCCUUUGCGAUUGUUUUUGAGUGACUCAUCUACCUUAAACAGAAUAACACAAAAGUUACUAAAAAAUGUAUCAACUUUUGUCAAUAUUCCUUACGCCCUCGUGCCCAUUACAUAUUUCACAGUUCGCCAAAAGUUUGAAAGGGUUCUUUUUCACUCUCUUCAGAUCAUUGCAGACUCCAAGAACCACCAUAAAGAGCACCACGGAGUAAACAAUUAUAGACACAAAUAUCACAAUAGCUAAAGAAAUUGAUAUGUGCUUAUACACAUCAACUUCACUUCCAAAACCUAAUAUUUCUCACCUCAAGAACAAAUAGAUGGCAUCAAGAAUUAGGAAAAUUAUCAACUGCAAGUGCUGUAAAUCAGCUGAUAUUUCAUCUAAACGACGCUAACACAUCAAAGAUUACACCUUUUCUCGUAAAAGAAAAUAAAAGAAAAAGGUAACCUUGUUUUCAGAGUCGGCGUUCUCCAUUAACGAAUCAAUUUCUCGCCACCGUUUCGCGCCCGACUCUUCACGCGCGGUUCCCCGUUUCGCGACCCUAUCCACACUCUCUUCCGACAUUGCUUCAAGAACACAUAGAACCCAAAAAAAAAACCUCAAAAAUUGUUGGGGNCGGGAAAUUAGAACCAAUUUCUAUUUUUUUUUCCUCUUUUUUUCUGCGGAAUUAAAAGAGAGUGACAGAGAGUUAGGGUUCUAAUUGAGUACUCACCGGAUAGAUUUUGUGGAGAUCGUUUGGAUUGGUUCCUCGUUCGCAUGGCGUUUUCUCUCACGCUCGAACGGGGAAGAGAGAAAGAGGAGGGAAAAGUGGGGAGAACCCUCGGAUGUUCGGUGAUGGUUUGGUUCGGGCGAUGCAACCGUAACGGAGCACAAGGGCACGUUUGGUGAAUUACUAACAUAAUCUAACCGAGCGGUGCAGUCGCCGACGCGUCAGCGCGAACGUUCGGUCGUGAUUUAUCUUGGGGGCGCAUCUGACGGUUGUAACUUGUAAGUGGUGGCGAGGAAUUAGAGUUUCCGUGUAGGUCACUACAGCAUGUUUAGUUCAUAUAUAAGUUAAAACUUUGGUGCAAGCACAUUACCGCUUGAGAUUUAGGCAACAAUUUGGUUGUUUCCUUGGUGCACUUGUGAGUUCAUGAGAUCGAUUGUAUGCGUGCAUAUUGGUCUGAGUGAAAUGUGGAUUUCGACGGCAUAAUCUAACGAACGAUAGUUCCCAGUGCGGUGGAUCGUGCACUUCGGCUUAUGAGCUUAAGAAAACCAAACACCAAACACGCGGUAACUCGAUUUCUUUCUUGUUCUUUGUUUCAUCACAUUUGCUCGGUUUACACCAAACCUCUGCUUGUGGUCGGCCCACCGUAAACCAACUUCUCGUAUUGAUGGAAGUCGCAGCAUCGCCCAACCAUCCCCGAUGUUGACUUCGCCAAAUUCGUGGGUUCCAAAGGGCUACACUUGGGACAAUCCAAGCCGCUACUUAUCUUCUUUGUCAAUUAAAACGCGGAGAUCUAAAUCAUUUAUUUACUCUCCCAUUUUAUUCUGGGCCCCUCUUAUCCGCAUUGAAAGAUGCUGCACUGCGAUGGGGAAGAUGCAGCUACUUAAUAGUGCUUCCACCGAGCCCACCUCAUUAUCUUCAGUACUACCACAAAAUAAAAAUCUUCGAGACCGAUCAUGUCACCGUAGAAAAGCUACGACAGAUGCGUUGAGCACGACACGCGACCGAGAGCCAAUGAAAUUUAGAGAUCAGAAAAUUUCAUUAAUUUUUGUAUUGGUUCUGGUUCUACUUAGAUUUCUUUUAUCGGUGGCGGUCGAUUCUUGCGAGGUUGACUUGUGUGGGCCCAUGUGUCAGUUUUUGUAGUGAACUACGACCAUUGGAUGGAAGAUUGUUUUUUUUUUUUUAAUAUACAUAUUCUGCACGGACCAUGGUCCCACAUCUUAUAAACUCAAGUAUGGUAGAAUUUUUACAUCAUAUUUCAAAAAUAUAUAUAUUAUAAUUUUUUACAAGUAAGAAUAAUAGUCGGAUUUAAUGUUAUUGAUUUUCGUACUACUCUGAUCCCUUCUAAAAGCUAAUAUUGUUAAUUUCAAAGCUCAAAAUACUAAAAAACGAACAAUCAUCAAUUUACUCACAGCUUUUAGUGUAGCUUGGUGGACCAUGUUCAUGCAUUAAUUUUUUAGGCCCGCUGCCAGAGUGCCCAUGCGUCUCUUCCCGCAAAUAUCUAUUUUAAGAGGAGCCGCGUGCUUUGUGUGGGAGAUCUGAGAGAGAUACUUUUAUUUUAGAGAGAGAGAGAGAGAGAGAGAGAGAGAGAGAGGUGGGGGGUAAAGAAGAAGAAGAAGAAGAUGGAUCCGGCGUUGGGGUGGGCUGCGAGAGACGCUUCCGGUGUUCUCUCUCCCUUUUCUUUUUCAAGAAGGUUCCCUGAUCCUCUCUCUCUCUCUCUCUCUCUCUCUCUCUCUCUCUCGAUCUUGAUCUGUUUUAGAUGGCUUGAGAUGAACAGGUUUCUUCCUGAAAGAAGAGCACCUGAACCCUUUUUCUUUCUCUGCUUUGUCUCGUUUCCUUUUCUUCUUUUUUUUUUUCUGUUUGAUGAUUCUAAGCUGAUCCAGAGGAAAAGAGUGUUGUUGCCAAUUGAGCGCUUGAUUACGUGAAGUGUUUCAUUCUUUUAUCUGUGACACAAACUCAUAAAUCACAUCCAAGGAGUUGCGCUGAUCUUCUGAUUGUUAUGUAGGCCCGGAGGGGAGGAUGAUGUUACUAUAAAGAUACUCUAUUGCGGGAUAUGCCACACCGAUCUUCACAUCAUUAAGAAUGACUGGGGGAAUGCCGCAUACCCUGUCGUCCCUGGGUACGCACGCAAAUGCUUUUAACUCUCUCUAUCUCUGUAUCGUUCGAUCGCUUGGCAUGUAUUCGUGUUGUUAGCCUUUCCCCUUCGUAUUAAUCAUUUUUCAAUCCUUAAAAAUAGUUAGAUCCGGUGAAACGGUCACGGUUAACUUCAUUAAACUAAGCAUUCGGCAUUGUUCGAGCACUUGGAACAUCUCAGGCUCAAAUGAUUGGCCGAUUUGCAAAGUCAAAGCACAAGAAGCUCAAGAUGUGAAAGCCCACAUCCAUAAGAGCGCGGCAAUUCGAGUAGGUGAUAGGAAAAGAGCUAGUCAGUGACCAAAAUUUAAUGAUAAGGAAAGAUCAAAGAACAAUUUUGUUUAGCACUGGACGAGCUUAAAAUAGCUUGCGUGAUGAAAACGGAUUCCUAUGAUGGAUUUGACGCAGUUCCUUUUAGGAUAAUAGAAUCUAGUGUUGAAUAAAGAUUGAGUUCAUGAGUUGAUUGAGUUGUUUCUUAGUCUAAAUUAUACUCAUUUUAGGUUUAAGUAUGAUUAGUAAGUUGUUACAAAUAGCCUUACUAGUUCAAUAAUGUUUACAUGGUUUCGAUGAUACUUCAAGUUCAAGAGACUCUUGUGGAGUGCCUCUGAUUCUUGAAGCUCAUUAUGGGUUUACAAUAUCAAGAGGAAUGUGUUGUUAUAAGGUGCCAUUGAGGAUAAAUGGAUCCAUUAUUAUCCACUAGAGGGGUGAAUGUCUCUGUGAACUAUGCUAGUAAACAGGGACUUUGUCAUAGUGUUUGCUAGUUUGAGUAUUUCUUGCUGUUGAAUUGAACCUUAUACAUGAUAUAUUUGUACAUCUAGAGAGAGUAAUACUUUGUGCACAGCAUUCUACGUGCGCGUGGUCUAUUGCUUUGUGAACUAGAAGACUAUGGGCAGUCGAAAGGGUCGGCGAGCCCACACCCCCAUUUUCACUUAUCAAAGCACCCAAUUUUUCUAUACUAACGUAGAAUAUUGUGGGUAUAGUAUAAUUAGAGAGACUUGGUGAGACGUGAGAGUCAAGUACCCAGAAUAAAGGCCUCUUAAUGCUAGUACAAUUGGUCGGGACAUUCACCCCUCUAGUGGGUAAUCACGAGUUCAUCUUUUAGUUACAUUUUGUGUUUCUUUACAGUACAAAUAUUAGAUGUAAACUGUAUUUCAGAGUGGAUGAGAAACCGAAAACCUCAUGAUAGUAAGAUACUAGAAUGACAUGGCUUAGCGAAAAUCCUGCGAGUUUCUUGUUGCUGCUACUGAAAGAUUAAGUUGCUACCAUUUCCCUGUUUACUUCCUAUUUGAGAUGAAUAGUACCAAAUAUUCAAAUGUGAGUGAAACUGAUGGCAGCAGCAAGAGCUUUGCUAUCCAAAACAAGAAAAUGCUUUCACUUGAAAAAAAAAAAGAAAAAAUCACUUGAUCUUGGUUUCUUCUUUUUCUGAGAUGUGCUUCUUAUUCACCUCGCUUUCUUUGUUGCAGGCACGAGAUAGUGGGGAUCGUGACUGGUGUGGGAUCCAAUGUAGACAAGUUUAAAGUUGGGGAGAAGGUUGGCGUGGGCUACAUGGUCGACUCAUGCCUUUCGUGUGACAGUUGCGAGCAGGAUUACGAAAACUAUUGCGACAAGGUCGUAAACACAUCAAAUGGCAUCUUCAGCGACGGUACAAAAACUUAUGGUGGAUUCUCUGAUGCAAUUGUUGUAAAAGAGCGUUUCGUGGUUCACAUACCAGAGAGCUUGCCUCUGGACAAGACUGCGCCGUUACUCUGUGCCGGGGUCACCGUAUACAGCCCGAUGAAGUAUUUUGGGCUCAACGAGUCAGGUAAGCAUUUAGGGGUGGUCGGUCUCGGCGGGCUUGGGCAUUUGGCUGUAAAGUUUGGCAAGGCCUUCGGGAUGAAAGUUACGGUGAUAAGCGGCUCGCCUAGCAAGGAGAAAGAAGCAAUUGAGCACUUGGGAGCUGAUUCAUUCUUGGUUAGCCGCAACCCUGAGCAAAUGCAGGUAAAGAAAGAAAGAUGAUUGAAUUUUUGUUCUACAUUCCAGUGCGAUUUUUGACAUGCUAAAGACCCUCUUAGGCUGCGAGAAGCACCAUGGAUGGUAUCAUCAAUACCGUCUCUGCCUUCCACCCAAUUUUGCCCUUGAUCUCCCUGCUGAAGGUACACGGAAAGAUGAUAAUGUUGGGUGGUCCAAAUAAGCCAUUGGAACUCUAUUCUUAUUCUCUAAUCCAAGGCAAGUACCAGACUCAUACCCUUUUGGUGUUUAUUUAGGAUCAGAGUUUGCAAAUAGUGAUAGAUAUAAAUCUUUGCUAGGUGGGAAGAUGGUGGCUGGGAGCUGCAUUGGAGGAAUGAAAGAUACUCAAGAAAUGAUUGAGUUUGCUGGGAAGCAUAACAUAACUGCAGAGGCGGAGGUUGUCGGAAUGGAAUACGUGAACACCGCGAUGGACCGACUUGCCGCUGGCGAUGUGAGAUAUCGAUUCGUAAUCGAUGUGGCGAACACUUUGGUUGCAACUUAACCAGUUGGAGUAGAGGAAUUUUAACUGGUAGAUGAGAUUAUGUCACGGACAUUGGACGCCGUUGACCAAUAAUGAUCAGUUGGAACACUGAGGUGCUUGAAUAAAUCAGUUACAGAAAUUUCAACCCUCUUCUUUCCCCUACUUUUUCUUUUAUGAGAGAGAAAACCUCAGCACUAGACUUUCUUCUGCAUAGGCCCAAUUGUCUAAAUUUAGCGAGUCAUAUACCUGAAAGUAGAGAACAAUUCAAUCCUUCAUUUAGAUCAAACCUUUAUAAGCAAUAAAAUGUAUGAAUUUUACAAAAAUAACAAAUGCUGAAAAGAAAAGCCAAGCCAUAUUUGUACAGCACUAACAACAAAAACCAGAACGAAAUAUUCAUCGAUAUCUAGUAACACAAUCGAAUAGGAGAGGAUGCACAUCAGCUCACCAAGCAAAGAGAACGCAGAUUCACAACCUUUCAAGCGACUGAUCCCCGAAUAGCUUCUUGAAGGAGCUGCAACACAUUCGAGGUUCUUUUAUGUUCAUAGCAGAACUGGAACAAUAAUUAUGCAUCAGUUCCCUUGAGGAUAUUAUACUUGCAAAGGGGGCAGAUCGCAUUUAUCCGAAGCCAUUUUACAAUGCAUGUGGAAUGGAAGUGAUGGUUGCAGGGAAAUGCAUGGAUCUCUACUCCAUCUUCAUAUGGCGUAAGACAUAUGCAACAUUCCUGAAAACAGGGAUUUGAAGAAGAGAAGAGCAGUGAGUUAGAGAAAAACCAACAUAAAAGUUCUCAGCUCAUCCUGAAAAGGAACAAGGGCCACCAGGCCGCCACUUUUCAGCGAUGUGGCCACUGUGAUAAGAAUACGGUCAUUGUUGCAAGUUGAACGUCUAAGGCACAAGACACAAUCAACGUGUUGUCGUACUUGCCCAGUAAGAAUUUCCUGUUCCCUCUAGGAAUAAGAAAUAAGUUUUUGUUUCUUUCAGGCAGCAUUACGAUAUAAAUGAUAACAUGCUGAAGCAUGAAUUCAAGAAGGAAAAAAAAAAAAAAAAUUGUGCACUUAUCAAAUAGGAACUUUCACUUGUUUAAGGGAAUACAUGCAGAUAUGAAUUUCGAAGUGUUACGUCAUUAAAAAAGGUAUUAUGAAAGAAACAACCAGAAACAAAGAAAGAAGCUACUCACGGCAUCCUCACGUGGCAGAAUGCGUUGCCUCCUUGAAGUUCCAGUGCUGUCAGGAAUGGGAAUCAUCACUCCUUCAUCACUUGUCUUCUGCCCAUUCUCCGAAGGCUCGGCAUAUCUGUAUCUCGGGAGAAUGCUUAUGUCCGCAUCUGAUGCACCUUCCUAUAUUUCAAUGACAAAUAAAACCAACAAUAAGUGAUAACGACAAAGCUCCUGUAAAGUAUUUUCUCCUGGUUGACCACUGCGACUUCUUGUUCUUACCUGCCCCACCACAGCAUAAAGAAUUGCAAUAAUACAAGGCAAACAGCAGCAAAGAGCGAUUCCAAUCACGCAGGCCAAAGCCACACAAAAGAUGGCAAAGCAUACAUCGAAUGCGAGAAAAACUACAGUCAACCUGCAAAAAGCCACCAUGGAUAACAGAGACUGUUUAUGGGCAUAUCAUAGAUACUAGAUUACACAGGCUAUUAACAUACAAAAAGUUCAGUUUGAUCACAAGGUUAACGAUAAUAUGGAUCAGCAAAAUAAGUUGACAUGAUAAUAAUAUCUGAGAAACAAAUACAAUAUAAGUUACCUUGAAGUAUCUUAGUCACCUAUGGUUCAAGAAUUGAGAAAGAGUAUUAAUAGAAAAAUCAAGAAAGAGUAUUUAGCCAGUUAAGGAGUUGUGACGAUUCUCUGAACUUAGCAUAAGUAUCAAAUGCUGACAAAACAACUGAAGAGAUCUACAUUAUGCAUUGAUGUGACAAUUAGAUCCGUGAACUUGCAUUUGCAUCUAGAAUCCAAGGUCAGUCAGAGGAAAGAAGGGGUACAUCAGUCAAAUGACAAUGUUUCCACUGAAAAACUGGAGAAUAAUUGCUGGAAAAAACUCGAGAGAUUUUAGUUAUUGUAACAAGUUAGCUAACAAUUCAGUAGCUUUAAGACACUCAAACGUGAAUCUAAGAUAACUAAAAUUUAAAACAUGUUUCACAGAGGAUAAAAAAAAGAUUUUACUAAAUGAUUAAAUUAUUGUUGUCAGUCAGCAUGGCAAAAGAAAUUUAUCAUAAAAUAGUGAUGCUAUACCAGUAGAGUCUUGGAGCAUUUUGCACCAGUGCUUCACCACCAGAGACAACCCAAUAAAAACCAAUUAGCCACCACAGAAUGGAUGCCAUGGUAUUAAUAGAUUCACAUCGUUUGGAGAAACUGAACACCAAUAACCAUUAGUUACCAGAGGCAAAGAAGUUUAAAACAAAAGUAAGUUGAACUAUAACGACGUGUUUGGCAUUGUUUUCAGUCUGUCAUUAUUUACUUUGCUUACCACUAAACUUAUUCAAUAUCAAUUGCUGUUUUGACUCUGAAGAGAAAAUGGUCCAGUAUUACCAGUAGAAACUUAUAAAUAGAUUUUUUUUUUAAAAAAAAUAAGGGUGACUUUCCAAAGAAACCAUAAUUAUAAAAAUAACAAAGAGUGAAAGUCAACAUAACUUUAAACUCAAAUUCUUUUUAAAAACAUUAAAAACAGUAAACGAUGCCAAACACAACAAAUACCGCUAAAAACAUGUCAUUUCUGAGCUACCGAAAAUUUAAUGAGAUAACAUCUUUCCGUAUAAAAGAUCGAGACAUUUCAUCUUAACAUCACAAAUUAAUAUAUUUCCUGAGAUGACUCUUUCUGCUGCCGUAAUAAUUGAUAAACCAUAGUUAAGAUGUCUGCUAACAAGAGAUGACUUUCGGAUGAUCAGAUCACAUUCAUGACUAUGGCAUUUUAUAUGGUGUAAAUCUGUACUGGCUGAUUAGCUUGCAGUGUUCCAAUAAUAUGAUGGCUAUCAGCAAGCACAUGCUUGCUCAAACAUAUAAAUUUAUAGGCGCAUACAUGUGGAAUUAUCCCAACAUCUAUUCGGAAUUAUCCCAAUAUUCCUAGCAGGGAAAAAUAUAACACAGAAAUAAUCAUAACAUCAAAUUGGAAAGAACUUUACAUCUAGUUUAAAUGAAUGGAUCCUUUUUAAGCUAAACUAGCAUUUUAAAUUAAAAAAAAGAAAAACAAUCAAGAUAAUGAUGACUCUGUCAAUUCAAAACCAUAACGAAUUACAACUUGCAUACCAUGUAAUACAGCCGACAUUCUAUUCUACAGUCUAGCCAAAGUAUGAACUGCAGGUGAUUUUGUUCUCGAUGCAUGUUUGGUUCACGAAUGGAAUGAAAAUAGAAAAUAAAAUUGGAUUGCAUUGGAACGGAAAAUCGAACAACGAAUAAUCCAAAAAUGUUUGGUUCAUUAUUUGAAUGGAAAUUAGAAUAGACAAUUAGAACAACUAGGAUUUUGAGAGAGAGUUUUGGUUAAAGGAGAGGAGGGUGAUGAAGGGAGAGAUAUAUGUAAGAGAAGGUUUUAAGUGGUUUACUUUAAAAUGGGAAAAUUUAAGAUUCAAAGCCAGAAUGAGCCAUAAAUGGAUUGGACCAUUUCCAUUUCAAAGUGGAAUGAGAAUCAAAAUAUGAUUCCUGUAAAACAAACAACAACUAUAGAAAUCAGGAAAUCUCAUUUCGAUUUUAGAAUCUAAAAUAAGUGAACCAAACAUACCCUAAGUUUCCACUCCAAGAGUUAAUCAGAGUUAGCUUUUGAAAUAAAAAAGGGCUCGUUGUCUACACAAAAGGUAACCCCACACAAAUCAAAAUUCUUCUCGAUAUUAUUCAUCUAUACGUCCUCUCCGCUCUCAUGAUUUAAAUGGUCAAAAAGCACAUCAACUAACAUAGCAUUAACAAGAACAAAAUUUCAAUCCAAAAUCAUGAAGCCAAAUUCAAAAAUUACUCUUGCCCACAUCCGUGAGACCUAAUUGUUUAGCUUCCACAUUAUGCCCGAACUCAGAAAGGGGUUUCACUACUUCAAACUUGAUCUCUUAAUCCUAAUAAACACCCCAAACAAAUGAAUCAAAUAGAGAAUAGAAGUCCAAAUUUGUUACUGAUCAACCAAAACUGCAGCUUGAAAUCUAAAUAGACAAAUCCCAUACCUGCUCCUUCGCGCGCCCGCUGCUCCCGCCUCUUCCUCCUCAUCCUCCCCGCUGUUCUCUCCCUCCGCCGCCCCCGACCCCUCCCCAGCCCUACCGCCGGCGACGCCGCCGCCCUCCUCCAACCUGCGCCGCUCCGUCGCGGUCCUCCUCCGGCGAUACUCGGCCAAGACGAGCGCGACGUGGAUCGCGCACUGGAGCGCGUACCCGGCGAUCCAGAUGCGGAGCGGGGUGGUGGGGCGCUCGCGCACGGUGACGGCGAGCACGGCGGCGGCGGCGACGGCGAAGGCCAUGUUCCAGGCGACGUCGAGCGUGACGACGACGCGGGAGUAGGCCCACUCGGCGCGGCGUUCCUCCAGCUGGAGCGCCGCCGCCUCGCGCACCAGCAUCGAGGGGCCGCGCCGCCCCGCCGCCCCGCCCACGAUCGCCGCCAGCCGGCUCGGCCGCGCCGCCUGCUCCGGCGAGCCUCGGCUCGGCCGCAGCAGCGGCUCCGCCGACGCCGAUGCGGUCGACGCUUCCUCUUCCAUCCCACCUCGGUCUCUCUCUCUCUCUCUAUCUCGUCUCUUCCUCUUAUUUCUCUUUUUUUUUUUCUCUUUUUUUAAAAAACUUUAAUUCUUUUCCUAUUUUUCUUAAAAAGACAAACUAAAAUCCAUUAAAGUAGUGAACAAACUAAUAAUGAAAGGUUUUAUUUCCUUACAUAAAAAAUAAAAAAAAAAAUUAUUCAGCAUAAAAAUACUGUUGGGGGGUUGUUGUGGGGUGAAUGAAACGUAGUUACCUAAACAAAAAAAAUACAACACCACAGUAAUCUUGUAUUAGAUAAUUUACAAGUCAUACAUGCUGUGUUUAAUUAUGCUGAGCUGAAGAUUUUAACCAAAUAGAUACUAAUAAUAAUGAGCUAAGUUAGAUCAAAAAAAGGAAAUUUUUCAAAGUUAUUUAUGUGACCAGCAUAUUAGUACAGUUACUAAGGUGUUACUAGUGUAUUAGUAAUAGACUAAUUAAAUGUUAUACCAAUCGGUACAGAAGAAAUUUGUAUUCCCUCGUGUUUUCUCUAGUACACUCGCUCUGAAUGGUGGCAUGAUGGGAGACAUUCUUGCUGUGUAUUAAUUCUUUUUUUUUUCUUUUUUUCUUUUUUUCUUUCUGAGGAAUUGCCAUAAUUGAUUUUGUAUCAAAGCUGUGUGCGACUUCAGGUCCCUAAGCAUAGGGGUGAGGAGUGUCCAGUGGUCCACACAAGAUGACUCUUUAUUUGCACAGAAUUUUUCAGACUCUGCACAGAAUUUUUCUGCAGUAUGAUAGAAUUUAUGGCUGUCCCCGAGUGGUCCAAACAAGUAGUAGAUGGUGGAAUCCAAAUUUUCCAUUGAUUAUCUCCCCUUGUUGGGUUUUUUACAUAUAUAUAUAUAUAUAUAUAUAUAUAUAUAUAUAUAUAUAUAUAUAUAUAUAUAUAUAUAUAUAUAUAUAUAUAUAUAUAUUUUAAGGUGAGAAAUAGGUUGGACAUCAAACUGAGUUCUUUAUAAUUUUAACUUUAAUUCCAAUUACCAUUACAGUAGGUCGAUAUCUUAACUUAUUUCGUUCCAAAAUAAAUGCCCAGUAUAUCAAACAGAAUGCUGGCCUUUUUUCCUUUUCACUAUUUGGAUUUAGUUUUCCUCGGAGACCAUUUAAAAAGUAAGUCGUUUAAUAGGCUAGACUAGCCACAAACAUACAAGUUUGGUGAAUUCAAUACGAGAAGAUGAUUUUGUAUGGGCCAGUUUAUUGUGUGGGCCAUUCAUCCACAUGUGUUGAUGCUUGUGGGAAUGGAGCAGGCCCAAACAGUCAAAAAGUGCGCCGCCGCAGCUAAGCUCGGCUCACAGCUUCAUUUGGGUUUGCGGUAAGAAAUUAUAAUACAAAAAAAAUAAUCUUUAUCAUAAAUUGCAUUGAUUCGGUUAAUAUAUCAUCAAUAUGCAUGGUUUCAUCAUUUCCGUAUGAACUCAUUUUAGUUCAACAGCGUUAGCCAGCCCUUAAUACGAAAUAGUCUAUCGUAAUUCGAAACUUCGUACCCGAUAUUUCAAAACUGUAACAUACAAAAUAAAAAAAUAAAUUGAGCUAAGAAAGCUCAGUGUGAGGGGUGGGUGAAGUAGGUACAGUGAAGUGAACUGCACGGGCAGUCCCAAAUUAACAGGUCAUUUUAUGAUUAAAAAACAGUUUUUUUUUUUUUUAAAAAAAAAAGUUAUGACGUACUAAAGUGUGAUUAAUAUGAAAAUUGCAAUAGCAUAUGUUGCAUUCAUUAAUAUAAAAUGAAGAAGGCUCUAAUCCAGUAAUAAUACAAGUUGUGUGAUAAUUAAAUUCACAAAAAGGUCCGCCACCUUUUAUGCAAUUGCAAUUGCAACUUGAUCCAGUAAUUUUACUACGUGUAAUAAUCAUCACGGCCAGAGGACAAAUUGACGACGCUCGAUCUGCACCAAAGACGAGCAUACAAAAUAGAUGAUUCUCUUUGGUAUAGAUAUAUUAUAUAUAUAUAUAUCCCAAAGAGAAGAAGACUCGUCACCACUCGUCACCACUCGCCACACAAGAAGAAGAAGAAGCAUCCAAAAUCUGGUUCACAAGUGUACAAACUUUGUCUCUACUCUCUACGCCAAAAAGCUGGGCGUGACACGUCCCUCGUUCUUAAGCAUACAAAAUAUAAAACUCAGAAAAUAUAUAUAUAUAUAUAUAUGUUACAUUAAUAUUCCUUUUUUUUAUAUGUAUGUGAAUAUUUUUGUAUUCAUUCAUGCAUUUUGAUAUUUUGUUCGUCUCGAUCCAUACGUGGGGCCUGGUUAGAUGAUGAUAUACGUACAUUAAAGAUCAGAAGCUCAAAUUAAUUUACUCUACCGGAUUGGAUUGGAUUAGAUAUUUAGAUUAGAGAUUAUUUUACACGAUCUUCGAGCGCCGCCGCUGCCCCACCAACGCCGUCGCCUCCACCGCCUCCGCCAUCGCCCCGCAUAUCGUCGCCGCGUGGCGCCCCAGACACCGCCCUCCUCCGCCGCCGCCGCCGCCGCCGGCUCUCCUCGUCGCCCUCCGGCCGUCCGCCGCCUCCUUCGGCGCCGCCCCUCCGCCGCCGGCGCUCGCCGCGAUGAGGCGCUCGAGCUCCCUGGUGAUGCACUCGAUCUCGUAGAGAUCGAAGAGCGAGAUCGAGCCGCGCGGCGGAGGCGGGGAUUUCUUCCCGCCGGAGGGCGGAGGAGGGCUCGUGGGGGCGCGGCGCGCGCCCGUCGUGGAUGGAGCCCCGCUGGUGCCAGGCCCACGCCGCGGCCUUCGCCAGCGCCAUCUCGUCCCACUCCGCCUCCGACGCCGACGCCGACGCCGACGCCGACGACCUCCCCCUUCGCUUCUUCCGAUCCAUUAGUAGAGAGGGAGAGAGAGGGAGAGAGAUAGCAAUAGAUGAAUAAUCAGUGAGAGAGAAGAAAAGGGUUUUUUUUGUUUAUUUUUGGGGUGGGUUUGAUAGGAUAAAUUGGAGGGGCCGAAACGAAGUCUCCUCGUCUUGAUUGCUCUCAUCAAUAGGGAACAGAAGGUUCGCGCGUGGUGUUUUAUUCAGUACGACCGCCACUUUGGUACGUUACGUGGAAAACGCACAUGGUUCUGGGGUAAAUUCCAUCAUCUUAUAUUUAUUAUUAUUACUUUAAAUUAAGUUGUAAACCCCACGCGGUUCUCACCCAUUAAAAAAAAAAUAAUAAUCUUUUUAUUCUAGGAAGGCAGAGCAAUUUUUCUCUUUCAUUGUUAAUAUUCUAAUUUCUGCACAUAAUAUUUUUAAUUUGUUUCAAUUAAAUUCGCCCUUAGCUUUUUAUCCACAAGAACUUAAUUUAGCCGGAAUAAAUAUUACAAAUCUAAAUUACGCAUUAAUUGAUAUCCAACUAAUUUUGUACAUCAAUAAUUUCGCAAUCAUAUUAAUUAAUGAUAGCUGCCCCAUGGAUUCAGUAACGAAUCGCACCAAAACCCAAGCUAGGUUAUGUUUUAAUGCUGUGGAAAAAGAAAGGCCCAUGCCAUAUCCGUUUUCAUAGGAAUUAAUAAUAAUUAAGUGGGCCACCAUGAGCUUCGUGGCUUGUCCUCCAACGCAACUUCGCAUGGUGCCUGAAUCAACACUUCACGCAAUGUGGCGCUUGAUCGGAUUAGCGUGAGGCAAAUUGAUAUGCAUCUGAUAAACAGGACGACAAUUAGACCAAACAAAUCUAUUAACUAUUAGAAAGUUUUUUAAGAAAUUAUUAAAUAUUUAAUAUUAAAAACAAAAGUUGACAGCUCCAGAAAUUUACCCAGAAAUGCUCAAACGUCAGAUUAAAUGUUAAAAACUUGGCGAAACAAUCUUUCAUUUCUGGAAUUAAGUUUAGUUAAAAAGAAAAUAACAUCCUGUUAAAUAUAAAAAUAUUUAAACACAAUUCUCCAUAAACUUAGCUUGUAGAGUACAACACCUGUUUCAUAUCAUUUCAUACAUCCUUCUUCGCAAUUCUGCUAAGUUUAGUAUACACCAGUUAAUAAGAAAAAAAUUUAGUUUGUUGCAGCUUAGUUCACAAAAUUCAGAUUCCAUUGCAGUACCGUCAUUUCAUAAUGUCAAUUCUUGAUCAAUGCAACAAUACAUACGACCAGAAAAUGCAGCAAUCAUGGAAGCUGUAACGGCCAUGCUAAAACCAUGUUACAAGAAAGUCGUACAAGCAAGGGCGAAAUAAUAUGCUUGCACGAGGAAGCCGGAGUGUUUUCAGCAAAUGCUGAAGGCUUGUUUUACAAUGUAGCAUGAUUGCAUAGACAUUAAAACAUACAUUAAAAAAUUACUGAUAAUUCUAGUCAACUCGAAAAGGAUAAUAUUCUCUUUCGUAUGCUUCAACGAAGGCCCCUGGAGUAAGAGACAACCACAGGAAUAGCUGCAAUAAAAUGGAUUACAUGACAAUGUUAGAAUGUGGAGGAAUAUUAAAGAUCAAAUUUCAGCUCAUAACAACCAAUACAACCAAGAAACCUGUGUACCCUCCAACUCAUUAACAGAUGGAGGGUAUAUUAGUGUACUUUGCUGAGGGUGCAGGUGGAAUAUCCUCGUAUAUAAAAUAUUGUCCGGCUUCUAAUAUUCUAUUGUUCCUAUGUUUCAACCAUAAAAAGCACCAUGUAGGAAAAUUAAUAAAAAUAUAUAAUUUGGAAACUACUUUUUGCAGUUAGCAAUAAAAGUAGAUCGGAUUUUAGUCAAUCUAGCCUGAAAGAAUUUAUUUACACAAUAUGUGUAGUUGGGUUAAGAAACAAACUAAUGCUAUGAUCUUCAAAUAAACCCGAGAUAACUAAAGCCUGUUCAACAUUUAUUGAUCCACCAUAGAACAAGUCCGGCUUUAGUAACCGAAGAUCUGUUAAUGUAUCUGUAAAUUGGUACUAACUAUUUUAGUGCAUAUUUCAUGGCUUUUUGAAACCAAAAUUAAAUAUUACCUCUGCAUGUGCAAUCCUUGCAUGCCCUGAGGAGUAGAUCAACUAGUUUUGAACAUGGCACACACCAAAUCUUCGAACAAGUGUAUUCUUAACCUUGCACAUAGUUGGAUAAGCCCAUUCCAAGAAUAAAUAACACAUCAUGACACUUCAGCACUGAACAAACAUCAAAGUUUUCCUCCUCUAUCUCAAAGUAAACGAGCUGCAACCGAGCAAAGUUACCAUCACAUUUAUAUCCCCCAAUAAAUUGAUACACACUGUAACUUAUCUUUGACCAAGUUAUUAGCAGUGCAAACUGGGAACCAUACCUCCAUGUCCUUCCCCAACAAAUAGUAGGUAAUAUUUUCAAACAAUGAUAUUUUUUGCUACAAACAACUAUUGCAGAUGCUCAUUAGGUGCCUCCUCCUGUGCCAAAUUUGAAUCUUGGAUUGUUGAAUCUAAAUUAUUUACUAUCUCUAGACACUUGCUGGCCAGAUUUUCAUCAUGCAUUGACCAACUACAGCAGAAAUAAAUUACCGACGAACUGCAAUACUUAUUUUGGUUUGUCCGAAAUGGGCAAUCUUCAUUUGAACAAAUACGGAUUCGAAGAGAAUCUAACUGGAGAUGAUCAGAAAAAGAUUCAAUAUACUUGCAUUUGACAUGACUACUCAAUUUCUUACACAACAAUUGAAGCGUAGUAUGGUUAGCAGCGUGAGGCAGAAACUGUUCCCGGUUACUCAGCCGUACAGGAAAGCAGCGCGCAAAUUGAACCACAUGCUUUUCUGCACCCAGCAUCUGCAAGAGCUCAUCCUUGCUGACAACCUUUGCAGUCUUACUUUUUUCCAUCACUAAAAUGCCUUCGGUAAGAUUUUCAUCUCCUGCCAAUUCUGAGACUUCACAGUUACUGAUACUAGCAUUGGAUAUGCAAUGCUUGUCUUGGGUACUAUGUAAGUUGGCAUUACAGCAACUUGUGAUGACCAUCUUACUGGCAUCUAUUUUCGUUCCUGAGACUUCACAAUUAUUCGUACUAAAAUUCGAUAUGCAAGGUUUGUCCUGGAUGCUAUUCAAGUUGACAUUGUGGCAACUCCUCAUGAACUGCCCAGUGGCAUCAACUUUCACAUUUUGACUAGUAGGAAUAAGCACGGUCUCAUUGUUUGCUGGAUAAUAGCAGGGAAUUCCCAGCUCAGAUUGAAUUCUUUCUGUUAAAGAGGCCAUUUUAGGCUUCUCUCCGUGCACGAGGAUAACAUGUUGAGGGAAAAGAAAGUCGAUUAGAUCCAUUAUCCCUUUGGCAUCUGUGUGAGGACUGAAAGAUAGCUGAUGAAUCUGGUGCUAGCAGAAAGUUCAAAUGAGAACAUGAAAGAUAUGUAUUCUUGCAUCAGAGGUUCAAACAAAAAUAAGAAUACUAACAAUAGAUGGCCCAUCUCUAAGAAAUAGCUAAAAACAUGCAAAAAACGGCUCAAAACUAAUUCUACUUUCUUUCCAAAAGGCAAUGAACAAAUAAGAUAGUUCUUCCACAACGCUCAAUAGAGUACCUUGCUCGUCAUAUGCAAACUGUGCAAAAAAUAAAAUAAAUAAAUUUAAAUAAAAUAAUAUUAAAAAAAUUCUAGGAAGGAUAAAUGCCAGAAAAGAAUGUAAUAUGAUGUGCAUUGUAAGUUUAAAUGUUAAAUUUUGCUAGAAUGUUGUUCGUGCAGCUAUAAGAUCGGAUAAUUUAUAUUAUUUAGAGGAAACUUUAGGGAAUCUUUUGACAUUGGGUGCAUGCCAUUGUGUAUUAUGGCCUUAGUUAGAAUAGGCUGCAUAUAUAAUAAUUAGCAUUAUAAGUUCAAGCAAGUCAGAAGAAGCAACUUAUUUUAUGUAAUAAUUCUAUUUUCCCUUUUUAUUAUUACUUCUAAACCAAAUCAACUUUCAUCACAUUAGAGUAUGAGGUUGGGGAAAGACCUGACAUCUAACAUCAAUAUGGGUGUCCGCAUCCAAAUCAAUUCUGGUAGGUUUACCUGACAUCAAUUUAUGCCCUAUGGUUCCAGCAACGCAGUAUCUGCAUAGAGACGAGAGAGAAAUAAACUAUAAACAAUUAUAGCCAUAUGACAAUCCUUUCCAGCAAAAGAAAAGAAAAAUGUUAUAUGACAAAAAUCUGAAACAUAAUUUGAGAAGGUUACCCAGGAAGUGUAAUUAGGUUCUUUUCAGAUGGAGCCCAGUGUUUGAAGACUUCAAGAGAAAAUCCGCCACUGAUCAUACCAGGAGUAGCGAAAAGAACACAUGGUCCAGGUGCAUUUAUAAGUGAGCGCUCAAAAGAGCACACUGUAAUGUCAAAAAAAUUAAGGUGAUGUUAAGUUUGAGAAAAGUAGCAUAGUUCCACAACAAGCAAUGUUCAUUACAAAGUAAUUCAGUUAUCAACAAAGUACCAUGCUUGAAAUCAAAUGGGUUGUGUUUUGUGUAAUUGUCUUUGAUCUUUUGACUGGUCCAUCCAAUAAGCAUCUUGUAGUACAUAUUAGCUUGAAUGGUCAAUCCUGAAAAAUGGCACACGUAAUUAGUAUCACAAAUAUGGAGGAUGUAACUAAAUGGUACAAAUUGCUAACAAGACAUAUAUUAAACAUACAGUAUCAUAUCACUUUUGAGUUACUAAAAAUUUGUAUAAUAUGAAUGGCCUACAAACUUCAAGAAUCUGACAAUGUUCCCUUCAACUACUUUGUGUUAAAUACAAUUUAUCUCUGGAAGAAACCAGCUUCUUCUGAAACUUAUAACAUAUAAUCUGGUGUGUAGCAGCAAAACAACACAUACAACCCUAUUGCACCAGCAAUGGAUUAAUGGCGCUUGGCUCUGGUGCUUUUUCCGUUGUGUAAAAGUUAGCAGAUUUUAAACUUUAAAAAUUUCCUUGGGAUGAAUCCUAAAGGGACACAAUGAAUUUCCAUCAAAAUAAGCUUAAGAAACAAUAAUGGAGAGCAUCUGUACCACAAUGCCAUCCACAUGAAUCACCUGUUUCACUAGCAAGCAAGUUUGUUCCAACAUAACAUAUUUUCGCUAUUCUCACCAUCUUGCAAAUUCCCAGUAUAGAGUUUGCAUAAAGCCAAAAGGUGUAUGUAAUCGACAUCAAUUCUAGCUCCUCGCUUUAGUAUAAGUUAAUUUAUUUUGCAGGUAAGUCCUCCAACUUACACCAACAACAGAGACUGAUGAACCAGUUAACUUAAGCAAACCAAAGGAUCUCCAUCCAAUCCAAAUAGGCAAUGUUUCCACAUGACCCAAAGGGACUCUCAUUCUUGGACUUCAGAUUUCUUCUCUUCAAGUUCAAUCAGCUUGAAUUUAUUAAUUCCCUUGUGAACUACUUACUACUAUACAUUCACCAUGUACAAGGAUCUUAGUUCAUACAAAGAUUUCCCCUAAAUGAUAUGAACUGCUAUUACUUCUGACAUGUCAAAAGAAUAACAAAUAAGCCUAAAAGUAGCUCAGAGAAGUCAUAACAUGAGGCACAAUAGAAGAAAAUAGCAUUUCUUCAUCAAUCUACACGGUAAUUUCUGAGCCAAGGCUGUGGCAUGCACCACAUAUAGUCCAGCAUCCCAUAGGAAGCUGCAGGCAAGUAUUCAGCAGCUUGCUUAUCUCUUGGCUAACAUGAUUAUCACAUGCUAAUAGAAUGACUUGUCUAAAUGCGAUUGCUUUAGGCUCCAAAAGCUUAUAGUUUAGGGUGGGAAAAGGCCCAAAAAUUAUUCUGUCUAGAAAGAUUUAUUGCAUAAAAUCAGACCUGCUUAAAAGAUUUAUCCUGGAUAGAAGUCAUAUUCCCAUGCUUAUUUCCUCCAAACGACCUUUUUAAUGGUAGGGAAAAGAAUGACCAACAAACAACAAAUCAGCUUUAAAUGCAGGAAGCAUGCAAAAACAAGCGGGCCUGGAAAAUUAUGUAUUUCUUUCAAGGGAUGACCUGGCACAUCUUCACGUUAAGUUGAUUAAAUGAUUGUAACAAAUUCAGAUGUUAGUUUAAGCGUUUAUAAUGUGGUCACAUGUUAGCUGAAGUAUAUAUCACGUGGUCACAAUGUUUGAAAGAAAACAUAAAAGUUUCCUAACAUAUCCAGCUUUAGGAGAUCAGAAACAUGAUUGUCAUUCACCAAGAAACAAGUCAAAAAGGUAGCGUGAAAAAUCAUACCGGCAGAAAAGUAGAUAGGAACAUUCAAGUUCAUUCUUUCCCAAUAGUCAUCCAACAAUAUGCAAAGCUCCUAAUGCACAUGCAAAAAAAUUAUUAUAGAAAUCUAAAAAAAAUCUUAAGAAAACAAUGAAAAGACAUAGUGAAAAUUACCUGGGCUCUCCCCAAGGCAAAUGUUGGGAUAAGAACUUUACCUCCUCCGGCAACACACUUAUGAACCUAAAAACAGGCUUCCAAUUUCAAAUCAGCAAAACAAAAGUGAAACUGCAUAACUAGAAUUCCAAGAACAGUGUUAUAUGAAUAUUAGCACAAUUGAUGCACAUCCUACUGAACUAUAUGCACAAUGGUUCGCUCAAAGAUUUUACAGAAACACAGGCCAUAUUAAUUUAUGUAAGAUUCUGCUUAGGUCGACUGAUGUAUCAUCUUUCACAAUUGCUGAAUUAUGAGCCAUUCUUUUUGGGCCUUUAGAUUUCUGUGAUAUCUGUAUUGCUAAUAAUAUAUAUAAGAAAAAUUGAUAAUAAAGAACAGCUACAGGAAAAUGAAGAAUUAUGGCUCAUACAAGAGAUCAAACCAACUAGGCAGCUAUUUCAGCAACAACUGAUUAGUCAGGAUCUCUGUGACUGCUUAGAGCGGAAUGCUCCUCUGUAAAUGGGACAAAUUGAAGCUGACUAAUGGUAGCACUUCUAUCAAAUAACAAAUUUGCAUGCCCACACAAUAUUGUUAUAGCAAGGACGAGAAAAAGAAUAAUCAGAUAAAGAGCAAAAAUGUGUAUGAUGAAAAGGUCAGCAUACAGCUUUCAGGAACUCCCUCUCUCUAGCAUAUUUUGAAUCCCUAAUAGUUGUCGCAUAUGUAGACCUAGAAGAAAGAAAAAAAUAAAGAAAAUUAACCUUAGCAAGUCAUGCAGAAGGAGAAAAGCUGUGAGAAUACAUAGGCGAGAAUAGUAUAAUCAAGAAGGCAUUAUCAUAAUUAAGUGUGCAAAAAAUAAAUCAAAGGUAUAGCAAAAUCAAGAUCAUCGAAUUAUGGGAAGGAUUAGUGCAAGCCUCAAUUACUAUAAUCAAUAAGUCUAAGACUCUUACAAU